This 79436-nucleotide long non-coding RNA is filed under the name Vitis vinifera (wine grape). RNAcentral's name for it is "long non-coding RNA (VVIN_LNC000787)". Lineage: Eukaryota; Viridiplantae; Streptophyta; Magnoliopsida; Vitales; Vitaceae. The record is from RNAcentral.
AAGUAAUUUUUGUCAUCCUUUGUGAAUGGAAAAUGCAGUCCCUUCAGUAAUUCCAUUAUAUUCAUGACUUGGUGAAGCAUAUAACCAUUAGUGUCUUACCCUAAGUCGACCUUUAAUGAUGAUCCAUUGAGAUGGGUCUGACUUUUGUCAACCCUCUUAUUCCCUUGAUCAUAGAGGUGAAACUUAGGGGGCUUAACCCACUUUUCAAUCUUAUUGGAUAUAUGGCACGUGGUAUCCUCUUCAUCUUGAAAGAGUGAAGUGGUCAUACUCUUUCCUCUGAGUCCAUUGUAGCCAUGCACUUCUGGCUUAUUGGGCUGAGUGAAAGGAUUCCCUUCUGCUUCAAAUCAUAGAGAGAUAUGCCAUGGUCAGCCUCUUUAAUUCAAGGGAUUGAAGUACUCAAAUCCAUUUCUCUGUAUCCAUCUUAGUUCUGCAUUCAUGUCUCAUGGUUAACCAAGAAGAUCCAGCCUCCAUCCAUGAGAUCAGCAUCUGCAGGUUUAUGACACCACCCUUCCUUGGCAUAGGAAAGGGAUCAUUAAGCCGUGUGUCGGAUGACAGAAGUCAUCAUUCAGGUUAUCUUGAGAACUAAGGAAGUUGGAAUUCUAAUUAUUGCAUAUGGUUCUUGAUGUUUAGCCAAUAUACUAUAGGAUUUUAAGCAUCAUGCUCACGUGCAUUGUGGUUGUUUAUCAGCUAUAUGGUUUAUCAAAAUGAGGGACUGAUUAUGGUCAUAAGUACCUUUUUCCCAUUAAUUUCUUGCAUGUGCUCUGCUGAGAUUAUGUUUUUGACAGUCCAAAUCAGGGCAAACCAACAAACAGCUUUAUGUUAACUUUUACAAACUGCCACAUUUUCAGGUUAAACAAACAGAGAUAAAUCUUGGUGAAACUAGAAGUAAUACAACCUGUUCUGUGGAGAUAAAAGAAAGGGCAGCAGUACUGGUGGCUGCAGAAAUUGAGGCAUGUAGAGACGAUAGAACCCCCAAGAUACCUCUUCAUGAGAAAGUCCAGAAAGAGUGGGCUUGUGCUGUAUGCCAGUUCACAACCCAAACUGAAGCGACCUUCAAUUCCCACCUUCAAGGGAAGAGACAUCAGGCCAUUUCUGAGCAGCUGAGAGCCAAAAACCAGGCAACCAAAACCAAUUGUUCCCCAUCUGCUUCAAUGGCCAAGAAAUCUGAUCAGUCCACCAAAGAGGAGCAACCAAAGUGUACUUCCAACAAUCUGAAUUCCAAAAACAAUGGAAUCUCAGCUGCUUCAACAGUGAAGAAACUUGAUGAGACCAAAGAUGAUGAGCAACAAAAGUCUGCAUCUAGCAAUGGACCAAACCAGAAGAAUAACAAAAAGCAAGAGGUACAGACCAAUGAGCAAGGCCAUCAGAAGAACUCAAGGCAAACUGGUGAUGGAAUGAAAGAGUUGAGAUCAUGGUGCAAUAUCUGUAAUGUAAGCUGCACAAGGGAGCUUGACCUGGCCUCUCAUCUCAAUGGAAGGAGGCACUUUGAUAGGAUAAAGCAGCUGUCUGAAUUAUGGUGCAGUAACUGCAAUGUAAGGUGCAACAGUGAGGUUGAUAUGGCCUCUCACCGAAAUGGGAGGAGGCACUUGGAGCAGCUGAAGGAACAGUUAGGAUUAUGGUGCAGUAUCUGUAGUGUGAGUUGCAACAGCAAGGUGGACAUGGAUUCUCACCUAAAUGGGAAGAGUCACUCGGAUCAGAUCAAGGACCAGUUAAGAUUAUGGUGUGGGGCAUGUAAUGUAACCUGCAAGAGUGAGCGCAACAUGGCCUUUCAUCUGAAUGGGAGGAAGCACUUAGAGAAGAAGGGGAAUACCUGAUUUGCUCUUCAGAUUAUUGAUACUUACAAAUGGUUUUAGUUAGAAGCAUACAGACCAGUGGGUGGUGCUCACAGAUGCCUCUAUUUUGUUGUAUGAAGUAAAAACAGUAUUUCCAUGUCCAGAAAUCAACCACUUGUUUAGUGCAUGCAUGGCUGGUUCAAAAUUAAACCUAAUUGUGAAUGACUAGGAGCAGGGAGGGAAAAAUUGAAGUGAAGAAUGUAAGAUUAUGGCUUCAUUUUUAUUUUUUCCUCUUCUGAAAAUUGUAAGAUUGUGUUAGGAGGAGCUGGAAUGGGUUCAAAUCAGGAAUUAAGACCCAGUUCCAAGACAUGGAAAGUGUCUUUAGAUUAUGUUAAGUUAUUUCCAUUUUUUUUUCUUUAUUUACGGUAAGAGGGAGCAUAAGGAACGAAAAUGAAUAUUUUUUUUUUUUCGAAUAAAAAUGAAUUUGAUAAUUUCAAUUAUUGUGUUUGGAUGUAUUUCGGAAUGUAAGAUUAAAAUAAUUAUUUGUUUUCAUUUUAGUGUUUGAUAAUAAUGAAAGUAUGAAUUAAAAAAUAAAUUGAUAAUAAUAUUCUUAUAUUUAAUUUAAAAUAUAUAUAUAUUUUUUAUUUUAGAAGAAUAUGGGUUAAAAGUUUUUUUUUUUUUUUAAAUAAUAAGCUUAAGAAAAAUAAUUUUUACUCAAUAAAUAAAAUUAAUCAUACAAAGUCAUAAAAACCAAACCAAAAUAUAAGGGUAAAAUAAUAAUUUUAAACUAUUCAUUUAAGUUAUCCAAAUGCAUUCCGACUCUUCAUUCUCUUAUACCAAAUACCGUCUUUAAGUAUUUGUCAAACUUAUUUUUUUGCAAAAUAUCAAUAUUUUACUAAUAUUUUUAUCGAUUAUUUGCCGAUAUUUAUCGCCACGUCACCAAUUCUUUGAGUUUGACUUUCAAAAUUUUGAAAUGAUCUUUGAAGUCCAGUUCAGCCCAAAUCACUACACCCAUGAACUCAUCUACAAAAGGGAACGGCUGGGCCACCACACUAAUAUGGCCCAUACAUGGGACCUCGUAAAAGAAUACCCAUCUUCAAAAAUAGGGACCAUAUUAAAUUAUUAAUGUAGCUAUAGGAAGCAUUUGAGGACAAGGGUUAUGAUUUUUCCCUUUUCUUUUUCUCCUUAAUUUUCACAUCACCCAACAACACCACUCUUAAUUCACACAAAUUUGAAGGUUUGGAAUGAGACUUCUUCAUAAUUAUAUUGUAAUUAUGUUAUAAUAACCAUGUCGUUUUUGGAUUUAUUUAUUCAGUCCAUCUAAAUCUUUUGUUUAUUCGCGUCAAAACAAUAUAUUUAUAAUCGAAUCCAUUUAUGACAUGUUCAUCUUUUAUAAAUUCAUUAAUUUUAUAUAUUUAAAAUUUAUAAAAGUUAAAUAUAUUUUUUCAAUUAUGAAUAUCAUAUUACUAAAAUAUUAAAUAACUAAUUAACUUGAAAUGUUUUAUAUUUCAUUAAUUAUUUUAUAAUUACAAAAUUAAGUGAAAUAAUAAAUAGGUUAAAAUAUAUAUUUUAUUUUAGUUAAAAAUUAUAAAUUGUUAUUGAGACACAUAACUACUAAAAUUCUACCCAUUUGACUAUCAAACAAACAACUUAAGUUUUUAGUCAUAAUUUAAGCUUAUGAUAAACUCUAUUUACAAAAAUUAGAAACCAAAAUCAAAUUCUUCCUAGACUCAAAAAUAUAAAGACAAUCUUUUAACUUUAGAAGAGAACUAUCAUCUAAGAUAAGGGUAACACAUCCCAUUGCCUGUACAACAAUUCUUGCUUCAAAAGCUAAUGUUAGGUACAUAUCCCUAUCAUUCAACCUUUCCCUUAGCUAAAACCCCUAUAAAGAAUUAUAAACAUGAUCAAUGGCUCCAAAAUUUAUCCACCAAGAGUUAGUGGAAUCUAAUACUAAACAUGAUUCAACUAAAAGAGAAUGAUGCAUACCUGACUGUCUCUUUAAGAACUAAGGGCAUUCCUUUUUCUAAUGGCCUUUUUUACCACAAAGGAAACAUUUGUCAUGACCCUUACUCUUCUUCUUCUUCUCUUGCCCUUGAACUUUCCCUUCUGUUUGGUGAAUUCUAUAAUGUUCUUAUUUUGGUUAGAAGAACCUAAAGAACACUUAACUGCCAUAUAAAUACCUCUCUGAUCCUUGAGAAUUCCCUCAAUCAUUUUGUGUUCUCUCAUCAGUUCGGUUAUAGUUUAAGAAAAAAAUUGUUUUUUUUAUGUGACUAAACUUGGAAUGAAUGUCCAAGUUGCAUACAUACUCGGGUUGAGAUCAAGUCAUAAUGUAGUUUAAGAAAAAUAUUUUUUAUUUUUUAUUUUUAUUUUUUAUCUGAUUGAACUUGGAAUGAAUUUCUAAGCUACUUACGUAUCCAGGAUGGGAUCAAGUUCUAACAUAGUCACAAUGCAGUUCAAGAAUUAUUUUUUUUUCUUUUUUUGUGCUCCAACUUUUGCCAAGACUAAAGAUCUUAAUUUUGCGAGCAUGUCCUAACUUUUGCCUAGGUCGCCUUUCCAAGUUUUCAAUUUAGCAAACUAGGUUUUUUUUUUUCUUUUUAGUUCUCUAACUUUUGCCAAGACUAAAGAUUUUAAUCUUGUAAGCAUGUCAUAACUUUUACAUAAGUCGAAUUUUUAGGUUUUCAUAGUGCUGGAUUUUUUUUUUGUUUUUUGUUUUUUUUUUGUGUCGUAGUCAAUUUAAGCUCAUAUGGGUUGGAAGCGAUGUGUAGUUUGUUGGGAUUGAGCCCUUAAAAGCAAGACAUGAUGUAAUAAAGUUAAACUUAACUAUCCCCUUACUAUCCUUUUGGUGUAUCAACAUUGAUUUAAACAUUCAACCCAUAUCUCUUACAUUGUAUAUGAUUUAGAAGCAUUAGGAGUUGUACAGAAGAUACAAGUUAUGUGUUCUUUGUAAGUAGGUGAGUUAUCCAUAGUCAUUUCAUGGAUUUGGGCAAUCUAGUAGAGACUAUAGUGCACCACCUCCUAAUUGAAGGGAUGACUUGUCUUGGCCGUUGGGAUGAGUUUCCUAUGGUGAGCGUACUAGUGUAUAUGAUGCACAUUGGAUAGGACCUAUGACAAAUCAUGAUGCAAGGCUAUCAAUUGUCAUGAUUCACCAAGUUACUAUACUACAUGGACUCUCAACCUUGAGAGGACAUUGAACCUGUGUCAAAAUCAAUAGAAAGUUUUGACCUAUGGGCGAGACCCUAAAGUAGUCAUAUAUCCUUAUGAAUUAGGUCAUUGUUGAUGGAGGCUAGUGAUAAUAGGCAUUCUCAAUAGAGGCACCAUGAUAUGUCAUGCGAUUGAGAUGGUGUGUCCCUUUGGGUGAUCCAAGGAACAUGUGAUCAUGAAAUUUGUGGCCACAGUAAUUCCUUUAGUGGAAUUUGACAUAUGCUCAAGGAUUUGAGAGAUAAUAUUGAUAGGUGAUAACACUAUCUUGUUAGAUUAUAGACACCAGUUUCAUGGGGAAUCUGCAUGUAGUGGAUAGUAGGUCAUGAAUGCGAGCUUUGUCUCGUUGUUAUUUACAUAAGGUACUGGAGUGUAGUUGAUUCUCUUUAGUAGAAUGUUAAAUCAACUUCAAAAUUGGAUUAUGAGGGAGCCAGUACUCCUAUGGGUCUCAAUGGUCCCCACUCUAAGCUUAUAUACCAUGAUGACAUAAUUUAUGAGGGUUGGAUUGGCUUUAGGUUCAUUCUUAUGCAUAAGGGCAUUUUGGUAAUUACUCAAGGUUGCAUAGGGGAUAAUAAAUAAGGUCUCUAGAUUGGACUAAUUGAUUAAUUAGAUGGCCUUAUGUGGUUAAUUAAUCAAUUAAGACAUGUUAGGGCUAGAUUAAGUGACUCAAGCCUUGAUGGGUUCAAGUCACUUAAGCCUAGUGGGUAACCGUAUAAAUACCCCCUUAUGGGUUAGGGUUUUCUAAUGACUUUUAGUUAGUCAUCUUCCACUUUUAGAAAAAUAGAGAGAGUCAAAGCUUCCUCCUUUCCACUGCCCACACUUUGGAAUGCCAAGAUCGUGGAUCGAGUCAUCGAACGAAAGAUCUUGGGUGUAUGAGACCUUCGAACUCUUUAGGCUUCUUCUUCGUUGGAUGGAUUUUGAUCUAGGAACAUCUAGAUCACAUGUAUGUGUUAUAAAAUUUGGUUAAUUCAACCUAAGGUAAUCAUCCUAGAGAAGGGGCGAAUAGGGUGAUGAUCUUUUUUUGAAAAUUUAAAUUAUGUGAAUGCAAGAGACAAUUAUAUGCAAAAUAUAUAGCAAAACCAUAUAAAAACAAUUGCAUAUAAAGUAAAAGGGUAAGGAAGAGAGAAAAUAAACACAAGAUUUUUAUAGCGAUUCAGUGCAACCCGACCUUCAUCCAUUCUCCUCUAGCUUCAAUCCCAAACUUGAGGUUCCACUAAUUUAAGGCUUCCAACCCAAGCCUUCAAGCAAUACAAUCGGAUUAUGGUUCCAAUCAAACCUCUUGAAAUUUUAGUUCUAAGCACAUUUUACAAUCUUCAAGAGAUACCUCACUCUUAAACAACUCCUUAAGUGAUACCCCACACUUGAGAAUCCCUAAGUGAUACCUCACACUUAGAUUUUUCAUCUCAAAGAUUUAUAAAUGAAGAUAGGAAAUUGUUAGCCCAAGGGCUCUCCUAAUCGGGUUUUGAUGAUAAAAAAUCAUGGUUAAAUGACUAAUUGGUUUAAUGGUUAAGAAUCUCAGGCAUAAACUUGAAAAUUCAUCAAAAGACCAAAUGGAUACAAGAUCGAGACGUUUGGAAGACUUGUGAUCAUAGGAAACUAAUGUAAGAUGAAUGCAUGAGUACACUUAGGAUUUUCAUACCGUUUCAUGCAAUUUAGAAAACUCGGUUUAUUCUUUAAAACUUCAAUUUCAUUAAAACUUGAGUUUUAACAAAUGUACCUUAGGCAAAAUGUUUUAAAAUUGGCAUAAUAAUUCACCUAAAAACCUUGCUUAAGUGUUAGAAAAGAAAGGAAUUGAAAAAUAUAGGUUUUCGGGGCCAAAAGGCUCAACCGAUCGAGGCUAUGACCAACCUGCUCAACCGGUUGGGGAAUCGGUCGACCGGUUGCCCCUGUCCGGUCGAGGUUCGAUAGAGGGAUGCACAAAAUUUUCUUUCUCUCCCAGUAGCCUUCUCUUCUCGGUCGAGGUCUGGUUGAGGACCGAUCAAGGUUCGAUCGAGGCAACGGUAACCUGUCAAGCAUUAAAUGUUCCAACGGCUAGUGAACCGGUCAACCCCUAGCUCGACCAGUUGAGGUUACCUUUUGCUGUUUUUGGCUCCCGAGCUUAGAAACCUAUAAAUUGAGAGCUCCACUUUAUUUAUUGACGAGAGAACACUUGCAAUCAAUUGUCUACCUACCUGUUCUUGAUCAAAAAACUCUCAUUUCUUUCUUUGUGCAUUAAAUCAUCACUUGCAUAUCCUUUAGUGCACUCUUAUGUGUCAUCCUAGCUUUGUCUUAUAUUUGAGCUAUCCUUAAGCUAGGUUGAGGGAUUCAUUCUUGUAAAAACUGAGUGUCAAAGCCUUCAAGAGGUUUAAAUCUUGAAGAGAUUGUGUAAGAGCCCAUUGGAGCCAGAAUCCAAGUGUAAGAAGAUUGGAAGCUUGGUUGAAGCUUCAAGUUAGUGGAACCCUCACUCGGUUAAAAGAUUGAGGAGAGUGGAUGUAGGGAAGGAAGUGUCGAACCACUAUAAAACCCAAGUUUGAAUUCUCUAACUCUAUCUCUUUAUUUUGCUUAUAUUGUGCUUGAACUCGUUGUGAUUGAAAAGAAUUUAAAAAACCCAAUUCAUCUCCCUCCCCCCUUUUAGGUGUUUUUCUUAAUUAAGCAUAGCAUUUAUUUUCUCAAUUGGUAUCAGAACUAGACCUCUUGUUUUUUUUUUUUUUUUAAAAAAAAAAAUUAAUCGUCUAAGAGGAUAUGACUAUUGCAUCAAGCUCAUCUCAAGCUAAAAUUUUUUCAAAACAUAGAGCUUCAUUCUUUACGGGAUCCGACUAUCCCUAUUGGAAAACUAGAAUGACUUGGUACUUACAAUCUACUGAUUUAGAUGUAUGAGACGUCAUUGAAGAUGGCCUAACUUUUCCCACUAAACUAGUUGAUGGAGUUUUGGUUCCAAAACCCAAGCAAGAAUGGAAUGAGCUUGAUAGAAAAAACUUUCAAUUAAAUGCUAAAGUCGUUUUUACUUUGCAAUGUGCUAUGGAUAGAAAUGAAUAUAAUAGAAUAUGUCAAUGCAAAUCGGCUAAAGAAAUUUAGAGGUUGCUUGAAAUAACUCAUGAAGGAACUAAUCAAGUGAAAGAGUCAAAAAUUAAUUUACUUGUUCAUAACUAUGAAUUGUUUUCAAUGAAAAAAAAUGAUACUAUUGUUGAGAUGAUUACUAGGUUCACCGACAUUGUCAAUGGUCUUGAAGCUUUGGGAAAAACCUACAAGGAAUCCGAGAAGGUGAUGAAGAUAUUGAGGUCUUUCCCAUCAAAGUGGCAUACCAAGGUCACUGCAAUUCAAGGAGCAAAAGACUUGACUAAGCUACCUAUGGAAGAGCUCAUAGGGUCAUUAAUGACAUAUGAGAUCAAUUUGACAAAGAAGCUACAAGAGGGUAAAGACAAAAAGAAGAAGAACAUAACCCUCAAAGCUAUAACCAAGGAAGAAGAAGAUGUUGAAGAAGAAAAACCAAGUGAUGAAGAUGAUGAUUUAGCCCUCAUCACAAGAAAGCUCAACAAAUACAUGAGAGGUGAAAGGUUUAGAGGAAGAAAGUUCACCUCUAGAAGAGAUCCUUCUAAAAAGGAAUCUUCAUCCCAUGGUGACAAGGAGAAAUGAGAAGAUAAAAGAGAUUUGAUAUGCUUCAAAUGCAAAAAACUGGGACACAUUAAAUAUGAUUGUCCACUCUACAAGAGUGAAGCCAAGAGAAGAAUGAAGAAGGCAAUGAUGGCCACUUGGAGCGAAAGUGAAGAAUCCUCCGAAGAAAAAAAGGAGAAGGAAGUAACAAACAUGUGCUUCAUGGCAAUAGAUGAUCUUGAUGAGGUAAACUCUAACUUUAGUGAUGAAGAUAUGUAUGAUGUUUUUGAAGAAUUAUAUGAGGAUUUUGAAAAACUUAGUUUGAAAAAUAAUUCUCUUAAAAAUAAAAUUCAAGAACUUGAAAAAGAACUUGAAGAAGUAAAAGAAAAAGUUUCAAUUGUUGAAAUAUCUAAAACUCAUCUUGAAAAAGAAAAUAAGAUUUUGAGAAGUGAAAAUGAGAUUUUGAAAAAGAAAAAUGAAUGGUUGACCUCCUCUCUUUCAAUUUUCUCUUGUGGAAAAAAAUAUUUUGAAAUGAUCUUAGUUAGCCAAAAAUGUAUUUUUGACAAACAAGGGUUAGGAUUCAAAUCUUCAAAAAAUCAAAAGUAUUUUAAAAACUACUUUGUAAAAGAAUCCGCAAGUGUAAGUCAUUCUACCACUUGCAACUUUUGUAGAAGAGGAGGAGACAUUAGUAGUACAUGUCUCUUAAGAAAUGGUUCUCAAAAGAAUUCAAAUGCUAAAGCUAAAAAGGUUUGGGUUGAGAAAUCCAAAGUCACUAACCCUCAAGGACCCAAAAAGAUAUUGGUACCUAAAUCAACUUAAAUUUUAUUUUGUAGGGUUCAAAGAAGGAUAAGUGGUUCUUGGAUAGUGGAUGCUCAAGACACAUGACCGGGGAUGAAUCCAAGUUUGUUUUCCUUACAAAGAGAAAGGGAGGAUAGGUUACCUUUGGAGACAAUGCAAAAGGAAGGAUCAUUGGUCAAGGCAACAUUGGUAAUGACACAUCCUCUCUUAUUGAAAGUGUUUUAUUAGUGGAUGGUUUAAAACAUAAUCUUUUGAACAUAAUUUAACUUUGUGACAAAGGUUUUAAAGUGAUUUUUGAAGCAUUUCAUUGCAUUAUCAAAGAUAUUCAAAAUGAUAAAACCAUCUUCAUGGGCCAUAGAUGUGAUAAUUUUUAUGCUAUAAAUAUUUCAAAUAUGAUGGCCAUGGUAAAUGUUUUUCAAGCAUGCAUGAUCAAAGUUGGUUGUAGCAUAGGAGGUUGGGACAUGCUAACAUGGACCUCAUUUCCCAACUCAACAAAGAAGCACUUGUUAGAGGCCUUCCCAAAAGAAAUUUUCAAAAAGACAAAGUUUGUGAAGCUUGUCAAAUGAGAAAGCAAAUCAAAAACUCUUUUAAAAACAAAAAUUUCAUUUCAAUAACUAGGCCUGCAUAUGGAUUUAUUUGGUCCCUCUAGGACACCAAACCUUGGAGGAAAAUCUUAUGCAUUUGUUAUUGUGGAUGACUUCUCUAGAUACACUUGGGUCUUAUUUUUAAGUCAAAAGAAUGAAGUCUUUUUUGAGUUUUCAAAGUUUUGCAACAAGGUUCAAAAUGAAAAAGGUUUUACAAUUUCUUGUAUAAGAAGUGAUCAUGGAGGAGAGUUUGAAAAUAUUGAUUUUGAAGACUAUUGCAAUGAGCAUGGUAUUAACCACAAAUUUUUGGCUCCUAGAACUCCUCAACAAAAUGGGGUAGUUGAAAGGAAAAAUAGAACUCUUCAAGAAAUGGCUAGAACCAUGCUAAAUGAAAACAAUUUACCAAAAUACUUUUGGGCCGAAGCAAUUAACACUUCUUGUUAUGUUUUAAAUAGAAUUUUAUUGAGGCCUAUUCUUAAAAAAACUCCCUAUAAGCUUCGGAAAAACAAGAAACCCAACAUUAGCUAUUUCAAAGUCUUUGGGUGCAAAUGCUUUAUAUUAAAAACCAAAGACAAUCUUGAAAAUUUUGAUGCAAAAUCGGAUGUUGGAAUUUUUCUUGGUUACUCAACUUUAAGUAAAGCCUUUAGAGUUUUUAACAAAAGAACCAUGGUUGUUGAGGAGUCCAUCCAUGUUAUUUUUUAUGAAUCUGACAAUUCUCUCCAAGAAAGAGAGAGCUUUGAUGAUGAUUUAGGCUUGGAGACCUCCAUGGGAAAAUUACAAAUUGAAGAUAGAAGGCAACAAGAAGAAGUUGUAGAGGAUCCCAAGAAAGAAGAAUCACCUUUGGCACUACCUCCUCCUCAACAAGUGCAAAGUGAAUCAAGCUAAAACCUUCCUAAAGAUUAGAAGUUUGUCAUCAACCACCCACAAAAUCAAAUUAUAGGUAAUCCAUCUAGUGGGGUAAGAACUAGAUCAUCUCUUAGAAACAUUUGCAAUAAUCUUGCUUUUAUCUCUCAAAUUGAACCUAAAAAUAUAAAUGAUACUCUAGUUGACGAAAAUUGGAUGAUUGCUAUGCAAGAAGAGUUAAAUCAAUUUGAAAGAAGUGAAGUAUGGGAAUUAGUGCCAAGACCUCAAAAUCAAAGUGUUAUUGGAACUAGAUGGGUCUUUAGAAAUAAAAUGGAUGAAAAUGGCAUAAUUAUAAGGAAUAAAGUAAGAUUGGUAGCCCAAGGUUUUAAUCAAGAAGAAGGGAUAGAUUAUGAAGAAACCUUUGCUCUCGUAGCUAGAUUGGAAGCCAUUAGGAUGCUACUUGCCUUUGCACGUUUUAAAGACUUUCUUUUAUAUCAAAUGGAUGUGAAAAGUGCUUUCUUAAAUGGCUUUAUAAAUGAAGAGGUAUAUGUUGAACAACCACCCGGUUUUCAAAGUUUUAACUUUCCUAAUCAUGUUUUUAAACUUAAAAAUGCACUUUAUGGUUUGAAACAAGCACUUAGAGCAUGGUAUGAAAGAUUGAGUAAAUUUCUUUUGAAAAAGGGUUUUAAAAUGGGAAAAAUUGACACAACUCUUUUCAUAAAAAUAAAGAAAAUGACAUGCUCUUAGUGCAAAUAUAUGUUGAUGAUAUCAUUUUUGGAGCUACUAAUGUCUCUCUUUGUGAAGAAUUUUCUAAAUGCAUGCAUAGUGAGUUCGAAAUGAGCAUGAUGAGAAAACUUAACUUCUUCCUUGGACUUCAAAUCAAGCAACUAAAGGAAGGAACCUUCAUCAAUCAAGCAAAGUAUAUAAGAGAUCUCCUCAAAAGGUUCAAUAUGGAGGAAGCGAAAACAAUGAAGACUCCAAUGAGUUCAUCCAUCAAGCUUGACAAGGAUGAGAAAGGUAAGUCCGUUAACUCAACUAUGUAUAAAGGCAUGAUAGGUUUUUUGCUAUAUUUGACCGCUAGUAGACCUGACAUCAUGUAUAGUGUAUGCUCGUGCGCUAGAUUUCAAUCUUGUCCUAAAGAAUCUCACUUAAGUGCCGUAAAAUGAAUUCUUAGAUAUUUAAAAGAGACAAUGGACAUAGGCCUAUGGUAUCCUAAGAGUGAUAACUUUGAAUUAAUUGGAUUCUUAGAUGCCAACUUUGCCAAUUGUAAAGUUGAAAGGAAAAGCACUAGUGGCACUUGUCAUUUCCUAGGACACUCACUUGUUUCAUGGCAUAGUAAUAAGCAAAAUUCGGUAGCCUUGUCAAAGGCGGAAGCAGAAUACAUAGCAGCUGGUUUAUGUUGUGCACAAAUCCUUUGGAUGAAACAAACACUUAGUGAUUUCAAUUUGAUUUUUGAGCAUGUUCCUAUUAAACGUGAUAACAUUAGUGCCAUAAAUAUUUCAAAAAAUUUGAUGCAACACUCUAGGACUAAGCAUAUAGAGAUUAGACACCAUUUUCUUAGAAAUCAUUUACAAAAAGGUGACAUUACACUUGAAUUUGUAAGCACAAAAGAUCAACUUGCCGAUAUUUUUACAAAACCUCUAAGUGAAGAGCAAUUUUUUUAUAUUAGAAGACAACUAGGGGUGAUUUCUUUAUAAUCAAAUGAUUACUUGAUGAAUUCUUGAUUGAAUAUACCUUAUGAUUGCGUGAAUUUCACAUCAUAUGCAUCAUAUAGAAAUAAUCUUAGGAAAAAGGUCAAAUUUUGACCAAAAAUCAAAAUUCCCUUGGCAUUGGAUAUCAAAAAUUGGGGAUUUCAACUGAAAAGGGCAAGGGAAGGAUCACGAGACAAGCAAAAGCCAAAAAAUUAGAGCGUUGACCAUUGACCAUUGACCAUUGACCAAGCGGUUCGUCGGGGCUGGGAAUUUAAAGAGACCCCCGCGCUUUAUUUUUUUCACUAUUCCCCUCAAUUCCUUGAAAACUCUUCACAUACCUGCUUCCAGAGACCACUUUGGGUUGAAUCUUGGACCAUUUGAAGGGCUUGGAGUUGUUUUUGGGACGUUUUUAAGACUAGGGUUUCAAUCUGAAACCUAAGGUUUCCAUUUUUAGGAGCAAUUCCUCUCAGACCACGUGCAUCAGCCAGGCUCAACUCCUUCUCCUUGCGCUUAGGGCUUCCGGUUGGAUUUCAUUCUCUCUUGUUUGGUUUCAUUCUCUCUUCAAACUUCUUUUUCUUCAUUUUCCGUUCUUUGGAUGGCGCCUAGGAGAGAGACAACUACCUCUAGGGCUCAGGGCAAGCGCCCUGCUGAGCCAUCUCAACCUGAGCAGAUGGAGGCUCACCGAAAGGCGAGGUAUGACACGACCCUCUGUGGACCCGCAUUUUUCACGUGCGUCCCCACUCGAUCGGCGAGACUCGCUUUUUAUUUGUGAAAAAUUGAUCUUUAAAAAAAAAAAAGUUGGAGUCGCCACCUAUUUUAUUUUUAUUUUGAAGGGAAAAUAAAACAAGAAAGAAAAACCCUAAAAAGUGACUCCAUGGUUUUGGAAAAAGCAUGUCUUUGAGAAACCCGAGUCUAAGUCCGGGGAUCAGGUUACUUAUUGGGAAGGUACCUCUAGGAGGUAGCACCCCUCUAAGCCCUAAAAAGGUCUCUACUGACUAAGUUAAGGGAAGCGUGGCAAUUAAAUGGUUGAUCAUGGAUACCUAAGUAGGCUAGGUGAUUCCAAAAACAUAACAUAUCAAACAAGAUCAAAUCACAAUUAAGGAGAGUUAAAAAUGCGUACCUGGACGGCUUCCCAAACGCUAUCAUAAAACAUAAGAGAUUAGUUUGGAGAUACAUCACACAACAUUUGUUUUACUCAAGCAAAUCAGGCAUAUAUCAAGACAUUCAAGAAUCACGUCAAAUAUGGAUAUGGUCAUCAAUGACAUACAAGUCCAUAGAAUUCUCGAAAAAAGGAUGAAAAUGAGCGUACCUGGAUAGCAAGCUAGAGCGCCUUUAUGGGAAACAAGGUUAACCCAAUAACAAAUUCAAGCAUAUCUCCAAGAAGAAUCAAAAUCAAUUGAAUACCAAAAAAUCAUCUUUAAAAUCAAUAUUAGUGAAGAUAUUAGGAAUGUAGGACCCCCCACCAAAGUCCAUAUUACUUUUGCACGAAUUGAUUCAAUGAAUUCCAUUAUUUGGAAUCGUGAAGCUUAUUCAUGCUUGUCAAAAAUCGAGAAAAUCAUAAAAUAGUUGAAGAUGAUGAAAAUGCAUGCCGGAAGGGAAAAUGGCAGCAAAUAGUAUGUUAAAAUUUGGAUUUUAUGCCUAGAGACUUCUCAGGAAUUUUAAAUAAAACUAGAAUUAUUUUUUACGGGAAAAGAUUUUGAAAUCCAGAUUUAAAAUGUGUAAGAUAACAAAAAGAAUAAGGAGAAACAUUAGGAGUAUGGUGUGUGGCAAGGUGACCACUAUAUGAGUGAGGUCUGGAGGUGCACUUGAGACUAAAUGGUUGAAACAGAUUGCAUAGGGAGCAUUCUGUACACCACUAGUUGUCUAGAAAGAAACUGAAUGUGUUCGUUUCCGAGCCCAUGUUCACCGGAGUUUAGGGUGCCACCUCAUUUAAAAAAAAGGGCUUCAAUACAACUCUAGUUUCUCAAGAUCACAAUCUGAAUUAUCAACAGAAGCUUCUGGUGAAGACAUAAUGCUCAAUUUCAGAUUAAAUUUCCUGUUCUAUAACUCGUUUUCUCUGAAUUUUCCUUUAAUGUCUGUGCUUUCUGAUCAUAUAAGUUGCCCGUCUGGUUCCUUGUUUGAGACUCUGCCGAACCUGGAAUAAUGCUUCUAGGUCUAGCUGAGGGGACCUACACCCCUUUUCAUGGAACCUGAGGCAUGCGUUAAUUCGAAACUCUAUUACUUUGCCUUCCAUUGCUUUAAGUCUUUUAGCCAUCUCAGCCACAAAUCUGGAGAUUCAUUUAUCUUUCUUUAAUAUUCAAGCCAAAUGUCAAUCCAGUCCGCUUAAACCCCGAUUUGAAUGAUUUUGAACCCUCUUUUUGCGCUCUUGAUGUUUUUCAUUUCAACUACAAUGACAAACCACCCUUCGAAAAAAGAAGAAAUCUGGACCAAAUCCUAAACUUUUAAUUCACAACUUCUUGAGCCUGACUCUGAGUCGACACAAUUGAAUCACCUUGGAUAAGAGUGCUUCUAAAAAUCCUCCAGAAUGUAGGCACAAGUGCAGCGUUCGUUAAUAAUGUCCAUGGCAUGUCACAAAGGAAAGCUUCUUUUUUUAUAAUCAUCAACGCAAAUUGACUCUUAAUGGACCCCAUUGCCAGCGUCACAUCAAAGACUGGACAGAUAGGGAGAUUCACAAUUUCGAUAGCUAUCUUUGCAUUAUUUGGGCAGGGCAACCAUGUUAUGGAUAUAUAGCUCGAAGGUGACUUGCGUUUUGUUCUGUAUCAUCAGUAGCAGCCUCAAACCCGCCAUAGGUUUGAGUGGUAUUAAAAGACUCAACAUGAUCAGCUGUAGGUGAUCGAGCAGCCAAUUCAUCAUUGAGCAAAUCAAUAAAAGCUUGGAUAUCGUUGCCGAGUGGCCUAAAAUCAUUAGAUAAAUCAUUAAAGUCAUUAAGUAUAUUACUGAUCUCCAUGAAAACCCUCCUCCUUGCUUCUGUAGAGCGAACACAAGCUGCCACUAAAAUUGGUUAGCCCGGAUUGCUAAUUUAUGCAUCCAAUCACCAUCGAUUUCUCUUGUCCUUUUUGGAACUUCUGGAAUAUGGAUGAAACCUGUGAAGAAUGUGGUGGAAUUGCGGUCUGCAAGCACGAAGUUUCCAGUUACUUGAAAUGCUUCGAAAUCAUGGUUCCAGUUUACAUCUACAGGCAUUGGCUCAAGUAAGUUCGUAUCAGCUUGGGUGGCUUUCGAUUCCAAAAGCUCUAACAACAACAUGAUUCUCAAAUAUCCGAACAGCAAUGUCCAAAAUUGAAUCAAGAAAAUUCUUUAGCAGCAGUAUGUGUUGUCCCUGCUGGAGCCAUCACAGGAGCAACUAAGCUAACUGCCAAAAAGGUUCUAGCCAGUGAGAUCCCAUUCUGACGUUUCGGUUUUGGUGACUGAUAGCUUUCUAAUUGUCCCUGCAAAUAAUGUAAACCAAUAGUUCCAUUGAAUGGAUUGUCAUCCAGAGCAAGGAUCCGAAUACUUGUAAGGCCAUCAACGAAAUCAGCGAGGGUGGUGUCGACUUCGUUGUAAUCGAAGAAGGCGAGUUGCAAUUCAGACAAUCUGCGAGAAGAAGGCAAUUUUCCAUUGAAGUGGUUCAUCUGAAACCCCAAAUUGCAGAGCAUUGAAAGCUGGUUGAAGUUUUGAGGGAGAGGUCCCUUUAAUCCCAAUCCCUUAACUUGAAUCUGUGUAACUCUGUCACCACUAUAAAAUACACGAGGCCACAAAUUUGACUCCACCCGUUGGCUCCUUUCCUUCAUUCAUUCGCUUUAACAAGUCACAUUUAAUUCCAAAGAAUAUUAUAUAAUCUUCAAGUAUGUUCAAAUCAGAGGGCUCUAGUCCGUUAACCUUUACACUCUCUAGCAGGUUCUGUUCUUGUCUCUUCCUAUUAUACAGAAGUUCAAGCAAGUUUCAUAAAGCCUGAAUUUCUACACGUAGCCACUACUGGGGUCAGGUUUAUCCAAGUGUGCUGCUCCAACAGAAUUAUCGAUGUGUCAGUUUCUCUAAAAAUCACCUUGUGAAUCAAUCCACAAUACCGAGGCAUCCCAUCAUCAGAACUUCCUAAGCUUUCAGCAAGUAGGCAAGCAUUUAUGCUUGAGUCAACUCUACCGAUGACAACAAACCCAUCCAAAUCAAACUUCAUAGCUGUUUCUUCUUUUCCAUUAAUAUCAACUGGUAUCCUUUCUAAAAGAAUGCUUUUCUUAUGACGACAUGACAGUAAAACCCUUUUGCGAGAAUGGCUCAGAGUUUUGAUCAUCAUCUGAUUCUAUUGUAUUACUGGAAUGAUUGCUUUGGUAAAUGGAAUUCAACAGAAUCCACACAUUCAUGACUCUAAAAUUCAGCUUACUAGCAACCAGAUGGAACACACAUUUUCUGGUUCAGGCAUUCGUUUCUGGUCAGAUUCAUGGUAUCUUAGCGGUGCAACAGACGAUGCAGCAACCUCUUCUAGAGUGCCUUUUAUGAGCCUCAAGAGCAAAGGCCAAUGAUAGAUGAAGCGGUCCCUCUGCACUACUUGGGCUUCUGAUUCAGAAGUUAUCAUGAAGCCAACGAACAAGCAGAGUGAACGCAUUUGCAGUCAACCUUAAAAUUUCUAAUAUUGUCAGCAGGCCUGAUGGUAAAAAAACGAAAGUAGGGGAGCCUUAUUCAAGAGGAUCAUUGCGAACACUGUCACGUGUUAUUGGUGAGCUUGUUGGCAUCUUGUUUUGGGCAGAAUAAUGAGAUCCUUCAGUUAAUUAGAGAUCCAUAUCAACUAAACACCAGAAUCAUGGAUUUCCCAUGCUUUCUACUGGACAACGAUUGUCAGUUCUUUCUCUUGUUCACUUCUACUGGCAGUGGCUUGACUCUCCAACAAAACCCCUGAUGCACCCUGUAGCUCCUCAUUUAAUUCUGGAUUCUUAUCAGCAUCGCUUUCUUCUCCCUUUUGAGACUCUUGGAGUAUGAAAAAGAAAACUUGUGAAGAAUAAGGUGGAAUAUCCCAGCAAUGCAGUAUGGUAGGACCCAUUUGAGGGGGAACCCUGCAUUCAUCACUCUCACCUCCAGUAGCAUUAGAUGCUUGCUGGACCCAAUUCAGCCAGUCUCUGCAUAUUGACUCUCAAUAUAAACGUUUAGAAAUAACAAUGACUUCAUUUCUACUGCCUUGUUUAGACCUUCCUUGAUCAAUGUCUACCUUCAUUUCUCACAAAUUCUGGUUCUACUAUUAAAGUUCUGCCCCCAGUCCGUUUUGCAAAGCAUAAGCUAAUUUUAUAUUUGUAUAAUUCCAUCUUAACACACAAGUCCGUCGUAGCCUUUCCUGAGAAGUUAGAGAAGUUGCUUUUCUGAUAUAAAAAAGCCUUUCAGAACCAUGCUGAAGCUCUGAAUGUUGAUAGUUUUCCAUUGCAACUGAUAUGAGCUCCUCAUCGGUAGUGUCACAAGAAUGAUUCCAUGAGAAGUUUCUUGUUGCAUCACCUUUUUUAUGUAUUCCAACCCCAACUGUUGAGUUUCUUGAAAUUGAAACUACGGAACUUAGUUAUUUUGAAUUGUUUGCAUCUGUAGUGAUAAAUCACUGGAAGAGACAAUCAUAAUUUAGGCACUUGAUUUCCGUUUCGGUCGAACUAACAGCUUCGUAACUGUUAAUCUCAAGGUCAGAUUCAUGCUCUUGUUUCUCAAUUUCCUCUUCCCAUGAGAAUUUUUUUCAUAACAAUCGAAUGAAUUCUUAUAACUCCCAAAAGUUUCUAGCUUUUGCUGAUCAUGGAGGUGCCUCACAAUACUUGUCAUUAUACUCACUUUGGAAUUUUUCUGGUCCAUGUUCACUUUGAAUGAAUGUAUCCCUAAAGGGGGUAUUCAAUGACUGCCCAUAAUGAGUUACAAGUUCCCCAAAAUAGAAUAUAAUGAUCGUCGGCCUUACAGUACUGCUGUUUUAAAAUUUUCUGCUCGCUGAACAGUCAUAGUUCAAACCAUCAAUAUCAAAAGGCUUUCCCAGGCACUCAUCUUCAGAACCAUAAGGCCAGCAAGUCUGCAACCGUUUGAGUUGGGUAAAAAAGAAAGUCCUAAGCAGUGGAAGUGCACAGCAUGAUGCUGUCAAGUUUCAAUAACUUAAAUAUUGGCCAACUUAAGCCAGACCAUAUUCCUCAAAAAUCCAUUCUUCCUCUGCUCAUGUAAACUUGUAAUGCUGUCAGAAAUCCUGUCUUCAGAAUAGCAACCCUGACAAUUGAGUAUGGAAAGCAGAAUACCCAUGUGCUUCCAACUAAGCUUUUUACAACCAUCCUCAUAAACUGAGGCGUGCCAUUCUAAAGAAAAGGCAGAGUCUUUUAGAAAUCACAAUACUUCUGAAGCAGCUUGAAUUAGCAUAUUGCAGUAAUUGGAAGUCGGAUUGACUGAAACAGGGGCUCGAACGCAUCCAUCUGUAAAUCUUACAGACCGACCACCCUCAGAGAAAAGGUCUCCAAAAAAAAGGCUUCAGCUUCAUGACAAACAGCAUUCUCUGUUUCAGAGUUGCAACUGCCCCUGUUAUACUACUCCUGUGCACUUCAGCAUUUAUUCUUUAGUUAUACCGUCCCUUUAGAUAGCAUCUAUCCCACACCGUGAAGCAAGCAAGGUUCACUAUAAUAGGAUCUAGUAGCAGCAACAAACGGGUGAUCCUGGAGAUAUUUUAAACUCAACUUCAUCAACAUCUUCAGCGUGCACUUCUGUUGGAACACAAGCGAUAGUAGCAGUGAAAAAAAAAGUGUUGUACUGAUCCCGUUAGGAUUGCAGCCCAGAAUACCACGAACAGAGAGCCCCAAAAAUUGAAGCAACUCUGCAUCCAACUAAAUCACAUCUAGAACCCGGUUUAACGACUUUCUUGUCUUGAAGAGGAAAUACCCAAUCUGACUCAACAAUCUGUUAUCAUGUGCCAAACCCCACAAACAGCCCACAUUCUACGCAGCCUUUAUAAAGUCUCUACCUUUCAUGAAAUACUCAUGCCAUCAUUGUCUCCAUAGCCCAGAACACCAAAGUAAAGAAGAGGAAGAAGCGUAGAUAUAGAAGCACAAAAAAAGAAACCGAACAAAGAAAGAAAAAAAAAAAAAAAAAACGAAAACAGGGGAAUGGAAGGCAAUGGGUGGGAAAUCUGAAUAAGUCACAUUUCAUUAUUUUCAAAAGGGCUUUGAAGAAUCUGAACACAUUAGGACAAGCUUAGUUAAAAUUAUAUCAGGAUUCCACAAACAUUAAAAUUCAAACAUAAGUCUCUGUUUCAGCUAUUUAUAAAAAGAAUCAAAGAAAUCAAGAACACAAUCAUAAUAGAGCAAGUUUGAAGGAAAUUUCGAUUCAACAACGCAAAUAAAUGGCCCUCAAUGUCCACUCCAAUCAGCAAGAACAACUUCCCGAAAACAGCCAGAGAAUCUCAAGUGAAUGUAAACGGGAAUACCAAAAUAAUAAAAAAAAUAACAGGAAGCGUACCUGGCAGAACCUUGGCUGCAAUCUCCCUCUCUUUCUGCUCUUCUCUCCGCACUUUUUCUUCAAGAUCUCUCUUUUUCUCCUUUUUCUCCUUUCUUUCUUUUCUUUCCUUCUUCCUUUUCUUUCCUUCUCCCUCUCAAGCCCAAAAAUCCUAUCUCUCCCUCCGGAUCUCUCCAAAAAAAAAUCCCCAUGCGUGCUGCCAGUCCCACUUUUCAAAAAGAAAACAUCUUGCUGAAAAGGAAAAUCCUACUUCCUUUUCUCCUUUCUUUCCUUUCUUUCUUUUCUUUCCUUCUUCCUUUUCUUUCCUUCUUGUAGCCGAUCCCCACAUGGAAGAAGUAUAUGUGCUGUCCCUCUAAAAAUCAAAAUCUCCUCUUUUCAAAAUUCCGUUGAUUUUCCUUCCAAAUAAAUGGCGGUUCGUUUCCUCAUGCCCAAAAAAUAAAUAAAAUAAAAAAAUAAAAAUAAAAAAAAUAAAAAAUAAAAAAUUAAAAAAAUUAAAAACAAAAAUAAAAAAAAAUCAAUCACAUGCAAGCCAUACGAGCUAUGUAACCACCAAAGGAAUAUGAGUUAUGCAACCAUGCAAAAACACGAGCCAUGCAACCAUGCAAACCAUGCAAAAACAUCUAAAGGUGACCUAGGGUGUGUCCUAGUGCGCUAGGGCAAACGAAAUGGACUAAGUGUGCUUAAAAGCUAUCCUAAAAAAAAGAAAAGCCUACGACUAAGUUAGGGCUGCCAAGGGUCACAAUAAGGGAUCAAAUAAUCCCUCAACCAAAAUCUCCGAGGUGACUCAGAAAAAGGUUAGUGGUAUGAGUAGCCAUGGGCCACCAAGGAACUAUGGGGCACUGAAAACGAAUUUAAAGACAUGUGCUAAAGGGACAAAAUUGAGGGUCUACACCCUCUUCAGUUCUGUUGAAGAUUAUCAAAGAUACAAGCAAAAAUUCUCCCAGAGGAAACUAGGGAGAAAUAUCAAUUUCUCCCAACUUUAGUACUUCGGGUUUGAGGGACUCUUUAGUCGGAUGGGAUAACUGCCAGUUGUGAUGAUUUUCGAGCCGAUCUUCCUGACUCUGGUGCGGGCAUUUUAUUCAUAGGUGACUUAUGGACUUGGAGGACCAGUCAUGUCCACUAUUAGAGGUGUUGAGAUCAGACUGAGCCCGGAGAGCAUUUUCCGCAUUCUCGACAUUCCUUUAGUUGGACUCCGGGUGUAUGAGUCCAAGGUUUGGCCCACUGUGCCGGGAUUCGAGCCUAGAGAGGCUAUUCAGAGGCUGUGCGGACUUGUAGAUGCUGAGGGGAUGGACAAACCAUCGGCACAUAGCCUGACCGUGACCAGCCAAGUCCUUCAUCACAUGAUUUGCUCCUAUUGCCACAAGGCGGGUAUCGAGAUGAGAUUUCCUACCUGGAUGCUUUCAUAGUGGACACCAUUCUAAUGGGGAGAUGGAUUCAUGUAGGGUAUUUGAUGAUGAUGCAUAUGAUAUCCUACUAUGAGAGCACGACCCGAGUACUCCCCUACAGACGCUUCCUCACUCGAGUAUUCAAGGAUGUCGGGGUCGAUUUGAGUAGAGAGACGAACUUCGAGGCCCUUACUAGCUAUGAUACUUACGAUGAGCAGUCCUUGGAGCGGAUAAAGUUUGAGAAGGCCCUCGAUGGCUCCUGGAUUAGGAGAGUUGAGCGAGCUCCAGCAUAGGCCCGGGGACAAGGAUAGAUGCAUCCCGGAGUAGAGGAGGAGGCUGAGAUCAAAGAGAUGGAGGAUGGGUUAGACCCAAGGAUUGAAAUAUCGAUAAAUAUGGAUAUAUCGGUACUUGGAUUUUACGGAUAUAUCGGAAAUAUCGGAGAAAUAUCAAUGGAUAUUUUUCAUCAAAUAUCGGUGAGACAAAAAUUAUCCAAAAUUGAUGGGAAUGCUUAGAAAAAUCCAAAGAAUGAUAAAAUAAGCAAGAAUAUACAUGUUAAAGUUAUUUUAUGAGUGUAAUUGACAUAAAUAUGGUAUAAAAAAAAUAUAUAUCGGUAAACAGUUUACGAUACUUGGAUUUUAAGAAAAGAAAAUAUGAAAUUUGGAAUUGUACACUUAAAAAGUUAGAAUUGAGUUAAGAAAUAUUUGAUUUUAUUAAAUGAAAAAAAUUUACACAUAAACAUAAUACAUAUGACAUUGCAAUGGUCCUUAAUACCAAAAUGAAGAUCGAUGUGGUUCCAUCAUAUUGUUAUUGUUAGAUGAAGGGAGCCCAUCUUGUUGAAGACAAUAUUCAUACCAGGACAUGGAGUUUCGAUAGUAUUGAUUGUAUGUACUAACAUGCCAUGCAUAAAUUUCUUGAGUCCUACCGACAACCUGUCCAUGGAUGGGAAAUCCAGGGUUUUCCCAUGUGCUCGUUUGAAAUCCUUGUUGUUGCAGCUGAUGUAGAAGGUAGUAUGGAAUUUGUGUGGAAGAAUGAUAGUUAUACCUUUCAUACUCUUCAUCAGUGGAACUUGAAAGAUUUUGAGGAGGCUGACCAUAACUCAUUGCAUAAGGGGCAUAAAUGUUGGCUUCAUUUGAUGAAUCACUUAAUUGAGUCUCUACACUCAUCGACUCAAAACUGGCCGACAAUGAGUCCUCGUUGUAUGGCAUCAUCCUUCGUUGUCUUCCUCUAUAUGGCUUUCCAAUGGCUCCAACACCUGGACCGGCUCUUCUAGAGCCGUGGUCUUCAUCUUGAGUACAAUGUGUGAAAUCAUCUUCACUAAUAAAUGCCAAUGGUUGUCCACUUUGUUGAUGUUGUCUAACAUCCCCUUCAUCAUUUUCAGGGUCGCUACCAUCAUUGGUCCCCUCUCCUCUUGAAUCAUCAUAACCGGAAGCGGAAGUACCAGUAGCACUAGGUCUACUACUAUGUUCAACACUCGUGGGGUCAAAAGAAGGUCGAGAAGUGACUACCAGCUGAGAAAUUCCUUGUCGAAAUGAAUCUUUCGUGUCUUGGUUGAAACUAUCAAUAUGAACUUCUUCGGAUAACACUUGAUCAACAUCAACACCUGCUUCUCGGACAUGUGCGGCAAUUCGUGGGUCGAGAUUUCCAUCUUCAUCAUCUAAAUGAAGAGGUCUAACCCAUUGAAACAAUUGGUUAUCUUCUUCUUCACCAGCCUCAGUUGCAAUAUCAAGUAAAUCAAGGUAAUCUUUCUCUGAAACUUUGUCAUGUUCUGCUUCCAUGUCACGUAUCUUUAGUUUCAUGUUAUAAUAAUAGAAAACUAAUUGUUAGAGCAUCGGGUAAGCAAGCUGAUUUCUUUGUUUUGUAUGAAUUAUGGAAAACAUGCUCCAAUUUCUCUCACAAGCUGAAGAUGAUGCAGUUUGCGAUAAAACCUUGAUGACCAACCUUCUUAAUGUAGGAGUGUGAUUUCCAUACAUGAACCACCAUUCAACUACAACCAAAUAAAUGAUAUCAAUACUUAUAUUGGAAAGCUAUAAUAAUAUGCUAAUGAAAUGAAUUAUUAAUUCACAAAUAAUACUCACCGAGAACCAUUUCUAACCUCGAAGCAAUCACUGUUUGAUCACCGAAUCCUCUUUUUGCAUCUCGGAAUAGUAUAAUCUACAUAUUAAAUAAUUGAAAGUGAAAAAGUUGAGUAAAUGAAAUUAAAUUAUUUAAUUUAUAUUAUAACUCUAAUAAUUUACCUCAUUUCCAAAUUGACUAAAACCUUCUGAUGUAGGAUCUAAUUUCGCAAAGACUUCAUGGACAACUUGAAGUAGAUCAGGAUCAGUACCAACUCCAUGUUUAUAUUGAAAUCUUGGAUUAAGAAAGAAUGCUACAAUAGUAAAAUAGAAAUGUAAAAUUAGAAUGUUAUGAAAGAAACAUAUUAAAUACCAAUAAAUUUCAAAGAUGAAUAAUACUUACCUGCUGCAUGAAAAGGAUGUUUAAAAGUUCUAUCCCAACGAUAUGCAAUUAUUUCUAACACCCAUUCUUUAGCAUUAAGUCGAAUAAGGUUCUCUUUCAUAACUCGAAUCAAUUCGUACACAAAUGGCAUUGUAGGAACAACUUCUGAAUCGACAAUGCGAAGAACUGUGUAUAGCGCCUCAUAUAUUGACACUAGCUUUCCCACUCUUUCCUAGUAUGCAUGGUCAAACAUAAGUGAUUCAACUUCUUUGCCGAUUAAUGUGCAACUUAAGUUGUGUUGUGCCCAUUCAUCACUGAUAAAUAUUUUCUUCAAGUUUAUUUUCUUUUUCAAAAGACUGUCGAAGGCUAUAUAAUUGGUUGCAAAUCUUGUUGCUCCAGGACGAACUAUGUCUCCACCACACACCUUCCGCAUCUGGGUAAGCAACCAACCAUGGUUAUAAAUGAAGUUGGUUAUCUUUCGAGCCUUUGUAAUCACAUCUGCAACACUCGUCCUUUUACCGAUAUCUUCGAACAUUAAGUCGAUGCAAUGUGCUGCACAUGGAGUCCAAUAAAGAUUGUAUUUCUUCAUUAACAACUUCCCCGCCUUCAUGAAUGCCGACCCAUUAUCUGUAACUAUUUGGACCACAUUUUGUUUGCCAAAUUCCUUGAUCACAUCCUUCAACAAACCAUAUAUGUAUUUGUUGUCCUUUAUAUUAUUUGAUACAUCAACAUAUUUGAGGAAGAUUGUGCUACCUUUUGAAUAUACCAUGAAAUUAAUUAUGCUUAAUUUCGUGGGCCCAGUCCAUCCGUCAGACAUAAUCGUGCAUCCAUAAGUCUUCCACUUUUCUCUUUGAAUAUUGACAUAAGCUUCUAUGUCUUUGUACUCCAUAUCCAAAUACUCGUGUUUGAUUUCAUAAGGAGACGGUGGUUUUAUACCCAUACCUACCAUCCAUAUAUAAUUAAAGCAUAUAAGAACAUUUGUGGCAAUCAUACUAUAUAAAUAGUAAUGAUAUUGUUAAAAUGAAUACAACUUUUAAAAUUAUAGUAAUUACCUGCUUGUUGUGCACCAACAAUCAUGUUCUUGAAGUGGUGAGAGUCUGUUUUACUGGGCGGAACACUCUCAUAUAUGAAGAACUUACUGAUCAAACGUCCCAUGGUUUCCUUGAUGGCACCACCUUUGAAAAUAUUUUUCAUAUUUUUAUGUCUUGCUACUGAAGAUUUGUACAAUGAGGGUGCAUCAGGCAGUGAUGGAUCUAAAUAUCGAACACUUUGCGAUUUUCGCAUUUGCCUUGUUGUUGGAUUGGUUGGAUGUGAAGACUUGCCUAUUAUAAUUAUUAAAAUUAAACAUAUAUGCUAAUUUAAUAUUAUUGAUAAAGUUGAUAAGAAAUAGUAAUAAUUCAAAUUAAUAUUAUACCUGUUUUUAUUUUGUCUUUUAUAAAAUGUUCUUCUUAUUGUCGAUUCCAUUCAGCAGCUUUUGAUGCUCGAACCGCCUCUCUAUAAGCAUGUCGCUCACCAAGGUGCAUGUCAGCCAGAUACAUAUACACAUCAUCAUCUCCAUCAUCAUCAUCACCACCAAGGUUCUCCUCAUCGUCCUCAUCAGUUACAUGCUUAUGUCUUAUUCCCAUUGUGUCUCGCAGUUCAGAUCGAAUCUCUUCUAUAUCUGUAGCUUUCUUCGCUUUUGCCUUAUUUUUUUGCUCUAGAAGUCGUCUUAUUUAUUGUUUCACUUCUGGAGGCAUGUUAGGACACUUUUUUGUAUUUGAAUUAGGGUCUGUAUGUGAUAGGUGAAAUUUAAAACGAGUAAUCCCACCACUCUUUAUUGCCAACCCACAGUAAUUGCAUACUGUUCCAUUUUUGUCCCCUUCCAUAGGUGUACAAUAUUUCCAACAAGGAUCUCGACCCAUGAUACCGCUUUCACUAGCCAUUUUCUAAAAUUGAAUUAUGAAACUAAUAUCAAAUUUAAAAUUAUUAAAGAUAAAACAUGUAAGAAAUUUAAUAUUCAUGAAAUUGAUAAGAACUAAUAAAAAUUGAAAUUAAAAUUAAAUUAUGCAUAUAUGAAAUAGAUAAACAUUACAAUAAAAUUUCAAUAUGAAUUAAAUUUAAAUUAAAUUAAAUUAAAUUUGUAUAUUCAUGAAAUUGAUAAGAAUCAUUACUAAUAAAAAUUAAAAUUAAAAUUGAAUUAUGCAUAUAUGAAAUAGAUAAACAUUACAAUAAAAUUUCAAUAUGAAUUAAAUUAAAUUAAAUUUGCAUAUUCAUGAAAUUGAUAAGAAUCAUUACUAAUAAAAAUUAAAAUUAAAAUUGAAUUAUGCAUAUAUUAAAUAGAUAAACAUUACAAUAAAAUUUCAAUAUGAAUUAAAUUUAAAUUAAAUUAAAUUAAAUUAAAUUUGCAUAUUCAUGAAAUUGAUAAGAAUCAUUACUAAUAAAAAUUAAAAUUAAAAUUGAAUUAUGCAUAUAUGAAAUAGAUAGACAUUACAAUAAAAUUUUGAUAAGAAUUAAAUUAAAUUAAAUUUGCAUAUUCAUGAAAUUGAUAAGAAUCAUUACUAAUAAAAAUUAAAAUUGAAUUAUGCAUAUAUGAAAUAGAUAAACAUUACAAUUACAUUUCCAUAUGAAUUAGAUAAUAUCAAUUAAACUAUUGUAGACCCCCCUCUUUUGGUCUCGUUUCUUUUUUUUUCCUCUACAUAUAUUAUGUUUGUUUUAGCCAUUGCGGAAGCACCUGGAAGAGGUGUUAGUGCCUUGAACAAGUGGGGGGACCUGGCUGUUUGGAGAGAUGAGCUGCGUGGAACACGUGGUGGAGCAGUUGGCCACAGCCAUGGUGGUGGUUGGGGCUCCAGUUUGCUGAGCAGAGGAACAGUAUAGUAGCUGAUGGCUUGCAGGAAAAGCUUUGACGGAGAAGGAGGACAGAGGAUUUUUAAGAGGAUCCUUUUGAGAGUGCUGGCAGGGGGGGAUCUUGGAGGGAAAGGGAAGAGGAGAAGUAAGUUUUGAGGAGAAAGGGGCUUUCAGGUAUGGCCAUUUAUGAUUUUUCCCGAAUAUUCUGAUCUUUCAUAUCUUUCCCAUCUUACUCUCCAUGAUUCCAGUUUUGCUUGAUGAGUUGUUUUGUUUUGAUGAUUGUUGGUUUAACAUUAAAAAAGAUGGCUGUUUUUUUUGUGUUUUACCCGUGCAAACCUCUUCCAACUUAACCCUUUGAUCGUUAAGCUCAUGGAUGAAAGAAUGAAACGAAGUUAGCACAUUCAUCAAAAGGUUCCCUGCUAUGUUUCUCCAUUUGUUCCCUUUGCUUGAGUAUGUGAGUAUUGAUGCUAAUAGUAGCAAGGUCCCAGCCAACUUUGUACAAUAGAGCUCAGAUGUUGCUCUAGGGGUUCAUGAUCAUCCUGUCAAGUGCCUAGGAGCAAAUGAUGCCCUUGAGCUUACGUUUCUAAGUCGUGUUCUCCCUACCAAGCUGGAUACCCUCCUUGCUAAGGACGGGGGGACGAAACCUAUUAACAGCCGAAACCCAAUGAUAAGAUCCAAGUCACUGUCGAGUAUCUCAAUGAGAAGGAUGCCAUGGUUCUUUCUUCGUGUACAUGUUGUUCCCAUCUCCACCCAAGUUGACUAAACUGUCAUCAGUGAUGAGAUUGCUGCCUACACUAAAUAAUACAUCAUCCAGCCGGUUAUUCAUGAGAAACAUUAAGAUGAGAAGUCCACCUUCCAACACCCAUUAAGCCACUCUUCACACCCAUCUUCUCUCAUUAACAUCCUCAUACCCCUCCCACCACUUCGUGAUUCAUAUCCCCAUCAUCCCCAGCCGUCCAUGCUAUCAAUAAUAUCCCCACUUAUCUUCAUACCCAUUUGUUCCACUAUUCGGAAUCCCCAUGCAUGCGAAACUGGACGCGGAAGCCAUGAUAGCAGAGAUUGUGAUGAAGAACGUGGAAUGCGGUACCCUGUUGCAUGAAGUGAGCAUGGUGGAGCGGCGGUUUGAGGAGUCGACGAGGAAGAUAGAGCUGUAGAAGAGCUUGCUGGAGGUGUUGGAGUUGGAGAGGACGAUAUUGCUGAAUGAUAACGUGCGGCUGGGGCGCGAGAUGAGUGCGCUGAUUGAGGAGAACAAGGGGCUGUGGAGGUCCCGGCUCCUGCUCCGACGCUGGAGGCGCUGAGUCCUCCAGCACCGCCGGCCGAAGCUCCUAGGCCACAGCUAGAUGCGAUCCCAUCCAUCUCCAUCUCUGCCAGGUGAGAGUAGGGCAGAGAAGAUCACGUGCGUGAGGUAGAGGGUAGAAAUGGAUAAAGGGCAUAGAAAAUGGGCUACAGCAAUGCAUGGAAUUGUUUGAUAAAAGAAAAGAGAAAUGGGUUUGUUGACACGUGAAAGAACUAUGCACUUUAAAAAAACUCUCCCUGUUUGUUUUACAUAUUCUCAAACAAUGCUUAAAAAUCCCUUAAAAUUUUAAAGUUAAAAAUUUAUUCACUUAUUCAUGUUUUUCUAUUCACUUCAAAUUCUCGAAACUCAAUCCUAAAAUUUAAUUUCUUCAAAGUUCAAUCUCCAAAAUAACUUUUUUUUUAGGUUCUAAUUUUAACUUUAAUUCUCCAAAGAUCCAAAAUUUUAAAUUUAACUUUCCAAAAAUCCCACAAUUCCGAAUUUAAUUUUAGGUCUUGUAAAUUAGUAUUAUUAUCCCAUAUUUAUUUAUUUAAAGUCCAAUCCUUCAAAAAUCUCAUUAUUAUUAUUAUUAUUACUUCAACUUUCGAAAUCAAUUUAUUCUUAUUAUUAUUAUCAUUAAUCCAAACUUUCAAAAUCCUAUUAUUAUUAUUAUUAACCCAACUCUCAAAAUAUUAUUAUUAUUAUUAUUAUUAUUAUCAUUAAUUCAGACUUUCGAAAUCUUAUUAUCAUUAUUAUUAAUUCAACUUGCAAAACCUUAUUAUUAUUAUUAUCAUUUCAAAACCUUAUCAUUAUUAUUAUUAUUAUGAUUAUCAUUAUUAUUAAUUUAACUUUUAAAAUAUUAUUAUUACUGUUUUUAUUAAUUCAACUUUUAAAAUCUUAUUAUUAUUAUUAUUACUAAUUCAAUUUUCAAAAUCUUAUUAUUGUUAUUAUUAUUAUUAUUGUUAAUUCAACUUUCAAAAUCUUAUUAUUAUUAUUAUUAUUAUCAUUAUUAACCUAUUAUCAUUAUUAUUAUUAUUAUUACUAUUACUAUUAUUAUUAUUAUUAUCAUUAUUAUUAAUUCAAUUCCCCAAAUCUUAUUAUUAUUAUUAUUAUUAAUUCAACUGUCAAAAUCUAUAUUCCCGUAGUUUAAUUUCUCAAAGUUCAUUUCUUAUCAUUACUGUUAUUAUUAAUUCAAUUUUCAAAAUCUAUAUUCUCGCAGUUUAAUUUCUCAAAGUUCAUUUCUUAUCAUUACUAUUAUUAUUAAUUCAGCUUUCAAAAUCCAUAUUCUCGCAGAUCAAUUUCCUAAAGUUCAUCUCUCAUUUUCUUUGACGAAUUUCAAUUUAAUUACCGAAGCUCUAAUCUUUCAAAGUUAAUUCCAAAUACUUCAAUUUUCAAAUAAAGUCUAAUAAUCCAGUUUUCACUCGAAUGGUUUUAAUCCCAUUUCAGUCCCUAAAUAAUCUUCUGGUAUUCUUGAUUUUAUAUAAGCAAUAGUGAAUUCUUCAUAAUUCUAAAACACGGAAUUUGUGAGACUGGUUCAUGAAUAAUAAAUUGGGUUUUGGUGGGAGGCACUAUGUUUGAUCCCUAUUGAUUGUCAACUGUUGUGCUUAAUGUAUUUUUGCUUGAUCUUCAUUUUGCACCCUGAUAUGCAUGAGUUAUAAUUUGUAUUCAUUAAUUAUGCACUAAUCCUGUUUCUUGAUAGCAAAUUGCUGUUUGCUACCCAGGUACGCAUUCACUCAUUCUGAUCAUUCACUAUACGUAUUCUGAUUCUCAUAUAUGCAUGAUUAAUGUGAGUAUCCAUUGACUUUCUUAUUCGAUUGCCACGUCAGUUUCACUUUAUUAGUAGAGACCCGACUUUAGGGACUUUGAGGGGUGCUAUGGUCUCUACCGUACCUUCCCGAUAAGUAACCUGACCCUCGAACCCGAUCCGGUUUUUCACAGACCACCUUUUCCAAAACAAGGAGUCGCACUUAGGGUUUUUCUUUCUUAUUUUGUUUACCCUUUAAAAAUAAAACAAAAAUAAGUGGCGACUCCAAGUCAUUUUCAAAUAAUCAAUAAAAAUCAAGUUUUCAAAUAAAAAUCGAGUUCGUCAUCGAGUGGGAAACGCAUUGAGCCGAAAUGCGGGGUCCACAACUAUAUAUAACAAAUAAAAUUGAAUUAUGCAUAAUAAAAUAAAUUUUAUGAAAGGUAAGACAUACCUUAAUUAGCUUUGACUUGGAGUUAAUCCCUUUCACCAACAAAUUUUCAAAAUAAAAAAAUUUUGCUAGAUCAUAUAAGAAUUUUGAUGUAUGAAAUGGAAUGGAAUGUGGGUAUUUAUAGGAAUUUUUUGGUCAAACUACUCGUUGGAUGGUCAAAUAGCCGUUAUAAAUUAAUUUUAACCGUUGGAUCAAAAUUUGGUUCAAAUUUCACCAUUAGAUCUUCAUAUAACCGUUGGAAACACUCCAUAGCCCUUGGAUAAAGUGAAGAUUGAUUUUCCACCAUUGGAUCACAAAUCUGACCAUUGGAGGCCUUUAUAAACACACGGGUGAAAUUUGGGCCAUCAGAUCCUCAAAAAUUCAAAUUUGGCCGUCAGAUCAAAAUCCUUGAAGCUGUAAAAAAAUCACCGAUUAAUCGCGAUUUUCUCGGCAAAAAAUCGUUGAUAUAUCGGUAAAAUAGCUGAUUUUUUGGGCUCCUCCUCCGGCUUCUUCGUGCGUGCCUCUACUCGCGAUUUUUCGUCGAUUUAUCGGUGAAGCACCGAUAUUUGGCCGAUAUAUCGGCGAUUUUGCCGAUUUUUCCGUCGAUUGAUAAUCGGUGACGAUUAUUAUUUCGGUGCCGCCCAAUAUCCGAUAUUUCUCCGAAAUAUCGAUGAUAUAUCCCGAUUUUUCAAUCCCUAGUUAGACCCUUAGAGGGAUUUUAAGUAGAGAGGGCCCGAGCUUGACAUUUCUCCUCCACCUCAUUCAGAUGGUAUUCAUGUUGAGACCACUUUCUUAGAGCCUAUGAUGAUUGAGUCGUCUUACACUACAGGAGCAUCAUCUCAGCCAUCAUUCACCGAGCUUCCUCACACAGAGAUACCAUCUCAGGCACCUCACGCUUCUGAUCAUGCCCCUUGGAUGGAUGUAUCAGCUCAUAUCAGCUUCCUUGGGACUCCUAUGGAGGAGCUUGCUUUAGUCAAUGAUACUCGAUUCUACUCUAUGGAGGAUCACAUAGAUCAGUAUCAGACUGGCUUCACUUCUCGUUUUGAGCACUUCCAGCAGAGAUUUGAGCGUAUAGAGGAGCGUAUGGAUCAACAGCAGGCUACAGUUGAGCAUCUCCAGCAAAGUAUUGAGCGCAUUGAGAGUCGCCAGGCGAGUUAGCAUGAGGAGAUGAUGGCUUACCUCCGCUCCGUGUUUCCAUCUUCACCCCCUCAGCCUUGAGUUUAUCUAGAGUUCCCCCUCAAUUUCUUUUUUAUGUUGCUAAAGGGGGAAAAAUAUCUAGGAUCUAGGAAACCCUCAUGCAUAUCAUUGUCAUAUCUAUCUUGAUUAGCAUAUAUGUUAUGUUUUCGUGUACAUGUGAGGUUACCAUAUAUAUGAUAUGCUAUUUUCAUGAUCCAUUGUUUCCUAUUCAAUUUUUCAUGCUUUACAUUGUUUCCUAUUGAAAAUUGAUUGAUUGAUCCAUGAUUGGUUUGAGGGGGAGAUUUUUUUUCUCUCCUAGAUAACCAAGGUUGGUCAUCAUAAAAAAUGGGGAGAUUGUUAGCCUAAGGGCUCUCCUAAUCGGGUUUUGAUGAUAACAAACCAUGGUUAAAUGACUAAUUGGUUUAAUGGUUAAGAAUCUCAGGCAUAAACUCGAAAAUUCAUCAAAUGACCAAAUGGAUACAAGAUCGAGACAUUUGGAAGACUUGUGAUCAUAGGAAACUAAUGUAAGAUAAAUACAUGAGUGCACUUAGGAUUUUCAUACCGUUUCAUGCAAUUUAGAAAACUCGGUUUAUUUUUUAAAACUUCGAUUUCAUUAAAACCCGAGUUUUAACAAAUGUACCUUAGGCAAAAUGUUUUAAAAUUGGCAUAAUAAUUCACCUAAAAACCUUGCCUAAGUGUUAGAAAAAAAAUGAAUUCAAAAAGAUAGGUUUUUAGGGCCAAAAGGCUCAACCGGUUGGAGAACCAGUCGACCAAUUGCCCUUCUCCGGUCGAGGAAUGCACAAAAUUUUCUCUCUCACAGUAGCCUUCUCUUCCCAGUCGAGGUUAUUCUCUUCCCGAUUGAGAACUGGUCAAGGUCCGGUCGAUGACCGGUCGAGGCAACGGUAUCCUGUCAAGCAUUAAAUGCUCCAACGGCUAGUGAACCGGUUGACCCCUAGUUCGAUCGGUCGAGGUUACCUUUUGCUGUUUUUGGCUCCCGAGCUUAGAAACCUAUAAAUUGAGAGCUCCACUUCAUUUAUUGACGAGAGAACACUUGCAACUAAUUGUCUACCUACCUGUUCUUGAUCAAAAAGCUUUCAUUUCUUUCUUAGUGCAUUAAAUCUUCAAUUGCAUAUCCUUUAGUGCACUCUUGUGUGUCAUCCUAGCUUUGUCUUAUAUUUGAGCUAUCCUUAAGCUAGGUUGAGGGAUUCAUUCUUGUAAAAAUCGAGUGUUAAAGCCUUCAAGAGGUUUAAAUCUUGAAGAGAUUGUGUAAGAGCCCAUUGGAGCCGGAAUCCAAGUGUAAGAAGAUUGGAAGCUUGGUUGAAACUUUAAGUUAGUGGAACCCUCACUCAGUUAGGAGAUUGAGGAGAGUGGACGUAGGCAAGAAAGUGCCGAACCACUAUAAAAUCCGAGUUUGAAUUCUUUAACUCUAUUUCUUUAUUUUGCUUAUAUUUUGCUUGAACUCGUUGUGAUCGAAAAGAAUUUAAAAAAUCCAAUUCACCCCCUUCCCCUCCUUUUGGGUGUUUUUCUUAAUUAAGCAUAGCCUAUAUUUUCUCAUAAAUAAUCUCACAAAAUCCUAGUACAAACUUUAGCCUCAAAUUAUACAAGAUAAACUAGGAUUGAAUGGUGCACUAAUGAUAUGUAAGUUUUAAAACAAUGUGUACUAAAAAACACUCCCCUAAGGCUCAAUUAUAUUCAAGAAAGGUUUAAGAAGGUUAAACUCUUGAAACUAUAAAGAUUGAAGCGUUUUUAUAGAAGAGAAAAGCCAAACUACCUAUUGGGGGUUCGUCUGGUCGAGCUCUGGUUCGACCAGUUCACUAGCCAUUAGCAUUUAAUGUAUGAUAGGUGACCAUUGGGCCUUGACUGGUACUCAAUUGGAUGAAGUUCAACCUUGAUUGAUCGAAUAAGCAUUAUGGAAAAGAGAUAAGGUUUUUGCACCCUUCAACUGAGUAAGUUGAAUAAGUCGACUAAUUCCUCAUUCAAUUCAACCAAUUAAGUCAUUUUUUGCUAAAAAAACCAUCAUUUUCAACUUAAAACCUUUUAAACAAGUUUGGAAAGCAUUUGACAUAAGGUUUUAGUUGAAAACAUGAAAUCAUCCAAUUUUUAAAAGAUUUAAAACAAAAUAACUCUUGAAUGAUUUUAGUGUAUAAGUAAAGAAUGUAAUGCAUGAAAAACCCCAUGCACUAACAACCUUACAAAGAGAUCCUAUGAGGCUUAGGUCUUGAAAAAACACUUAUCUUUAAGGUUUUCUUCUUCUUAUUGAUUUUAUCUUUGUGAUUGCCACUUUGGAAAUCAUCUUGCCUAGUCACACUUAAAAUAUAAUCAUUAGUUCUAAACCUUGUUUUGUUAUCAUCAAAACUAAGAUUAACCAAACCUUGGUUUCACAGUAUGAAUAUUGUAUCUUUAGAUCUAUAGUUAAUAGUGGUUUUUAUAGUCAUAUGUUUCUAUUGUGAUAAAUUUAGAGAUGCCUAGGGAUAGAUGAAUGCACCCUAUGAGAUCUAGUGCAUAUGAAUGGAGUAAUCUGGGGUUCCUAACAUAGUUUAGGCUUGUGCUUCAUAGAGCGAUAACAAUUCUUCAAGCAUAGUUAUGCUUUAGAAAUUUGUUAUUGAUUGGUCCAAUUUUUAGACCAUCUUUAGCAACAAUCUUGUGGGCACCAUUGAUAUAAACUUGUUAUACAAAAUAUGAUCUAUCACAUUUUUGGCAAGAACUUUCCACUAGUUUUGUGCAUGGUAAUGAUCAUGCAUGCAAACUUAACUAAGUUAUACACUAGAUGCCAAACUACUACAAUUCUUAUACACCUUCCCAUUUUGUGCAACCGAACAAUUCAACAUCAUAACACCAAAGUUCUUGCUUAGAUUUCCUACAGUGCUAAAAUUUUGAAAUGAUUAAUUUUUUUAUUUUCCUUUCAAUACCAAGACCCACAUACAUCAUGUCAUGCCCUAAGACCCACUCUAAGGGCAUGACAAUCAUUUCACAUCUCAAGGUAGAAAGCUCAAAGUGUAAAUUGACCUUAACAUUCAUUUUGUAACUGGAAAAUUAUCAAUUACCAAAUUCAUAUUCAAAGUAGUAGAAUAAAAUUCUAUAAGUUUCAAAUCUCAACUUUAAAGCUAACACAUCAACUAAAGUGUUAUUGUCCAAACAACUUCAAACUUAACAAUUCAAGCAAUCAUUAAAUUCUAGCUUUCAAAAAAAUAAAGUUUUAACCAAAAGUCUUAAUAUUGCCAAAAUAUCAUCCUAACGAUCACUCCUAGCCCGAAUUAAGGUGCCUAAAAAAUUGUCAAUGAAAGGAAAUGAGAUCAACGCUCAAUAAGGAAUAUUAACAAAGUUUCAUGGAUCAAACAUUUUUAAUUAUAAUUCCAAAUAGGAGAUAUAAUAUAUAAUCAUUUUCAUAAAAACUUUUGAGUUUAAAUAUAAUAAUACAUUCAAAAAUUUUUAGCUAAACAUUUUCAUAUCUAUGUCAAAACAAUUUCAUAUCAAAUUCAAAUCAAAUAUAUACAAAAUAUUUUUAUUUUGGUUAUCAAAUAUCACAUGGUGUCAAGUUAGGUGGGACUUUACAAAUUGGUGUCUAGCCUCAAAUUUUUUCAUUUCAAGGUGGAUGAAACCAAACACUACUAGUAUUAUUAACAUCUAACCAAAUGCCUAAAGGGUGGAAUCUAAAGCAAUUACAUGCCCCGCCAAGAAAUAUAAGGUCAACAAUUAUAACUAGUUAACUAAGGACAAAAAUAAACUAGAGUCAAACACCUUAUUUCAUUAAUUCAAACUUACAAAACAAAAACAUCAUAUCUCCAUAAUUUUCAUUUUUUAUAAACAAAAGAAAUGUUCUAACAUAUUUUUUUCAUGAAAAAUAUAUAUUUGAUCCAUGCAUAAAAAUAAAAAUAAUUUUUUUUAUUAUUCAAAAUAACAUAUAAAAGUAAAUAUGUUCUUUUGGCCAAAACAUGUAUUAAUUUUUCUUACCUCAAAGAAACACUCAAAGACCUUGAAGCAAUUAAUCCUGAAGAAUUUCACCCCAAAAAACAUAUUUCAUACCUUACAAAAAAAAAACAAAAAAACAAAAUUACUAUUGAUUAUUUAUCUAAUAAUAGUUUCGUAUCUCAUAUCACCUAUAUUAUUUUUAACUUCCUAAUAAAUAACAAUUUAAUAAGUGAUUUUCCAAAUUUUAAAAAGUUAUGUUCUUUCCAAAAUUUAUUCAUAAUAUUCUAUUAUUAUUAAUUAAAUCUCUCAAAAAUAUGUUUUUUCUAUUUAUUGCAUUAAACUAUUAUUAUUAUUAUUCAAUUUCAAUUUGAUUAAUUGGUUUUUUCUUUUAAAUUUUUAAUUUAUAUAAGAUUCUUGUUUUGAAAAUCUUCCAUAUUUACUUAUUUGUUUAAAGUAAAUUUCUCCAAAACUUGUUCCUUUUUGUUAAACAAAUAUCUUUUCCUAUUAUUAUUAUUAUUAUUAUCCCUAAUAUUAUAUUCAAAUAACUAAACAAUAAUAAUUUAAAUUAGUGAGUUUCCAAAUUUUUAUAAAACUCAUAUUCAUUCUAAAUCUUAUCAUAUAUAUCUAUUUCUUUUAUAUAAUUAAAUUAAAUUAAAAAUUUUACUUAAAUAUAUAUAUAUAUAUAUAUAUAUAUAUAUAUAUAUAUAUAUAUUAUAUUAUAUUAUUACUUUCAACAUCCUUCUACCACCGAAACAAUUACCUCAAGUAAAAGUCAUCUAUCCUUAUUCUACUAACUACCCUCUCUCUUGCAAUAGCACACUUAGGGAUGGCAAUGGGGCGGGUUCAGGAUAGGUCACCCCCAUCCCAACUCCACCUUGUUUAUUCAAAAUAAUUAUCAUCCUCGUCCCAUUUAAAAAAUUAAAUGAGACGGGGCGAGUAUGAUAAAUUCUCAUACUCGCCUCGUCCUGCCCCGUUUAACUUUUUUUUGAAUUUAUUUAUUUAUUUAUUUUUAAAAUUACUUUUAAAAUUUUUAAUUACAUUAAAAUAAAUAUAUUUUAUAAAUAAUUAAAUAAUUAUAUUUUUUAUUACUUAUUUUAUUAAAAAUAUUUUAUUAUUAUCUAUAUAUUAAAAAUAGUAAAAUAAAAAUUAAAUUAAAUUAAUUUUAAAAAUUAAUUUUAUAUAUAAUUGGGGCGGGGUGGGACGGGGCAAUACCCAAACCUGCUUCGGGUUUUAAAAAAAAUUCUCAAACUUGUCCCAAACCCGUUUAUUAAAAUUGAACUCCGUCCCAUUAGGGACGAGGCGAGUACCUCGAAAAAACCUGCCUUAUUGUCAUUCCUAAGCACACUUUCAUUUUUUUUUUUUCAUUUUUAUUGCUUUUAUCUUUUUCCUCCCUAAGAUCAAUCAUAUUGUAAGCACCCCUUUUUUUUUUCUACCACAUCUUGUUGCAAUCAACCUUGUAAGUUUUUUUAAUUUAAAUUUUUUUUCCACUAUGGAGGCACGUACAACCAUAAAACCCCAUCUUUUUUUAUUUUAUUUUUACAACUCUCAAAUCUCUCAACCUCCAUACUAUUAGGUUUUAUUCAUUCAUUUAUUUAUUUAUUAUUCCAUAUCCAAAACUAUAAUUAAUUUUCUUUUAUAUUUUUUUAUUUUAGAUCUAUUAAUUUGAAUAUUCAAAAUUUCUAAUCUUUACUAAUAACUCUAAAGCAUUCAAAACUAAUUAAUAAAUAUAAAAUAUUAAUCUAAGGAUUAAAAUCUUAUAUAGAAAAUUGAUCUUCAAAUCUUAAACCCCCAAAUUUUCAACCUUACAUUGCGUUGUCUAAUAUCUCAAAUCUCCAUGUAAAAGGGCUUUUGAAUAGAGUAAAUAAGAAAAAUUUAAUUUAUACCUAAAAUUUUUAAAAUAGAGAAAAAUCUUUCUACCCUUAUUAAUUUAAUUUAAUUAAUUUUUUAAAAUUAUGUUUUUACCCUUUAAUUGGGUUUGGGCAUCACACAUCAUACUAAAAAGUUAUCAAUAACCGUCCUUUGAGGCAUAUUAGCAUAAAUUUGCAACUUUAGUUGUGUUCUAGGUGCAAUUCUAUUAUGUUUAAUUGAAAAAUAACACACAUAGCACAACCAAGCCUAAUUGAAAGCAUUUGGGCAAAUAAAUGGUAAAUUUCUAAAAGUUCACCAAAACAAAAAAAAAGAUCAUAGAGGGCAUAUUUUUCAAGUCAACCUAGUUUUGGGAUAGCCACUUUCAAGCCUAAUGAUGUUAAGAUGUCUUAUUGCAAUCCAAUCUAAGAAUGCAAUAAUAGCUCUUUAAUUCAUAAUUUUAAAUUCACAAAAGAUAUCACCAAAAAUUACCAUAGGUUACCAAAGCAUCAACAACAUACAGAAAGCUUAGAAAUGCUUGGAACCUAUCGGAUUUUCACUUUUUAGGAAUAAAAAAAAAAAUCAACUUUAAGGAUUUUAGGGUAAUACUUGCUUGAACCAUCUUUCAAUCCUUUUGUUGGUGGUGGGCCUUUUACCUAUAGGAACAGGAAUAAGAGGUGAAAAUGAGGGAGCCUUAUGAAAACAGAUCCCUAGGGCUUAAGAAGGGGUUUUCAAUUUUAGGGUUUGCCUUUUCACCAAGGAUGUGAAUGGGAAGAUCAAGUGAAGUUAAGAGAUUGGUGAAGCAAAGUGAGGGCAUGGUAGGGUUUGAAUAAGGGAAAUUCUACACUAUUAAUGAAGAUGAUAAUCUCGAGAAAGCAAAGCUAAGGUAAACUAGGGUUUUAAUAACAUUUUUCAAUCUACACUAGUGAAGACGAUAUCUUCGAAAACCAAAGCUAGGGUAAGCUAGGGCUUUAAUAAUGAAUUUCAAUCUACAAUGGUGAAGAUGAGAAUCUUCGAAAACCAAAUCUAUAAUGGUGAAGAUGAUUGAAAACUAAAUCUAUACUGGUGAAGACGAUUGUAAAGCAAAUCUACACUAGUGAAGAUGAUAAUCUUCGAAAACCAAAUCUAUAAUGGUGAAGAUGAUUGAAAACUAAAUCUAUACUGAUGAAGAUGAUUAGAAAGCAAAUAUUCACUGGUGAAGACAACGAAACCAAAGGUAGGUCUUCUAAACUAAACCCUUUUAGGGAUUUUCCAUUUUUUUUCCUUUGUUUUCAAGAAAGGUAAACUCUCUUGAAAACCAAAAAACUAAUGCAUUCUUAAAUCCAGAUCACCAUUUUCAACAUAGUAUUUGGAUUUCCACCUUGCAUUUUUUAUUUUUUAUUUUUUUUAAUAGUCAAGGGCAUUUUAGGGAUUAUUGAAGGAUAAUAUCAAUAAGCUCAAUUUCCUACAUUAGUUAGGUCUUAGGCUCAAAUGUGAAACUUAUAGGGAUGUUAGGCCAAUUAUCAAACUUACUUGCCUAAAGCAUAAUUUCCCCUUUUCAAAAUAGUUGUUAAACAUCAAUCCCAAACAUGUGUAACCCUUUGAAGUACUUGUAUGUCAACCUUGUUUCCUUUCCCUCAUGCAACAUGACUUAUUGAUGGUUGCAUUGAAUCAUUAUCAUUCACCAAAUCCAUGCAACUAUGGACUACCUUUCAAAUCCCUUGAACAUAAAUGGUAAUUCCAAAACAACUCAAGUAUAAUCUUUCCGGCCUUUCAAAUGAUUUAAUUAAUUGAUGUUUGAAUAUACUUCAUAUAUUUUUUUAGAGCAAUUUUUAGGCAUAUGACAUAAAUCUCUAAUUUUUUUUAUUUUUAUAAAAGGUUUUAUAUUUUAUAUUACAAUUUCCUCUCUUUUUUUUCAUCUAAAAAACAAAAUAUAAAACCUUAAUAAACGAGUUUUGUCACAAUCCCUUAAAAGGUAAUCUAUUUUUAAAAAUUACUUUAACCAUUUUAGAUAUAUUGAUUCAGUCUAAUUUAAUUUUAAUAUUUUUUAUAAAAUAUUUUUAUUUUAUAUGAUUAUAAAUUAAUUACCAUUGAUUGCAUAUUAUAGAAUAUAUAUUCUAAAAUAUAUCCUAUUGACAAUAAUAUCAUAAGAUAUUAUAUCCAUAUCCUAAUAUAUUAUAUACUUUUAUUUUGUGCAAUUAGCAACAGGGUGGAAGACGGCUUAGGCGGGAGACGGCUUAACGGAAAUGUCGUCUGCCAUGCGUGUCCCUUCCCUUAGUGAGUCUGAACAGCUCCAACAUUUCUGACACGCCCUUCUUCGGUUAGCUCUUAAGUAUUUUCGUUAACCCCAUCACAUUUCGCCAUGUGGAUCUAAGCCUCAUGGUCCUUUCGUUCGUACUAUGAAUAUAUUCCUUAUCUAGAGUCUGGAUCCUUUAUCUCUGCACGUGUCUAUGGCUCUUCACCCCAGCAAGUAUGGCAUUACAAGGGCAAUAUCGUCAUUAAAGACCCAAAAGGCAAACGAAUGGCAUUAUCUUCCUUUUGGGUCUAUUCUAUUUAUAUUUAUAUUGCAAGUUAUUCGUGAUGACUUCUCUCAUAACAGCUAAAAACCACUCCAACAGAGCACACUUCACUUCUUCGUUUUUGUCUUUCCUCUUUUUUUUCCAGAGAAGCUGAGAAAGCCCAGCUUGCCCUCAACUCCCCGAUGGGUUUGAUGAAUGUUCUCAAAUUCUCAGCUGCAUGCUUUGAUCUUCUUGGCUGGUAUGUUGUCCACGGAUUUUCUCGUCAUUGGAAAAUGAAGUGGAAUUCUAUGUUUGAGGACAAAACUGGGAUUUGCUUUGAUUUCUCCAUGUUGGUUUUAUCCCUUUCCUUUGAAUUGUCCACAUUCUUGUCAUUGGUUGUUAGUUAUUUGUUUGGAUUUCUACUUGCAGGCCUCUGUUUGCACUGGGUUAUCCUCUGUAAGUCUUGGUCUUACACCCCAAGAUAUGAUCAUUCAUUUACUCUUUUCUUGUUCUAUGAAUUCUUAGUUCUGUUACAUUUAUUGGGUUGGAUUAUUAGUUAUUAUAUUAAUAAUCAUCAACGUCAUCUCGGUUCUUCACAGAUGUGCUUCAAUUCGGGUAAUUGAGACUAACUCAAUCUCAGACGUUCGGAAGUUGGUGGCGUAUUGGGUUCUAUUUUCCUUGGUUUCACUCUUUGAUCAUACUUUUGCCAAGCUCCUUGAAUGGUAAUUUUGCUCAACUGCAUUCCACUAUAUGUGGCUCUAUUUCUUUCAUUUCUCUGCCCUUAAGGAAUUUGGAGUUGCUUUUUUCAGUUUUCUUCCCUGUGAAAAUAAUCGAGAUGUUUAAUGUUCCAGGCCUGCAUGCUCAAGGAAGUGGUGUCAGCUUUGGAAAUAAGAUGGAUCUACUAGUUUUUAUUUCUCAUCUUUAUAGGGAACUUUCCAUAAUCACAGUGAUGAAUAAUUGUCUUGUUUGAAAGCAUGGUUGCACUUAUUUCCAUGGAAUUUGUCUGCUGAGAAACAAAUGGAAAUAGAAAAUUCAGAAUCUGACAAGUUUGUGUAGGGCAACUGGAUCUAAUCUCUUAGUCGAAGCUUAAUUGGGGCAAAUGCUGAUCAUCUUUGGACCAUUGAAGGCUCUAAUCUGUGCACAAUUCUAAUGUUUUUGUUUUCUUCAUUUCUUUUUCAACUGUUCAUAAUAGAUGUCAAAAGAUAAAACCGAACUUAUGUAGUCCAUCCAAGUGGAUGCAUAUAAAUUUAACAGAAACUGAAAUUCGAAGAAAUUUAUUUAUUUUUUUAAAUAUUUUAUUUUCUUAUAUAAUGCAUGUCAGGAUACCAUUCUGGCCUUACAUAAAGCUGAUGGUCAUCUGCUGGAUGGUGAUACCGCAUUUUGAUGGUUCAUAUUAUGUCUAUCAACACCUAGUUCAUCCAUGCUUGUCCAUUGAUCCACAAGUUGUCAUGAAUUGGCUUUUCAAUGAAUCAAAAAAGAAGUUUCAUAGCAGAGAAAACUUUCUUGUUUCAGCAGACCAAUAUAUUAAGGAGAAUGGACCUGAAGCUUUGAAGAAACUACUUGCUAGGAAGGUAUGCCAUUAUAAGUAGGAUUAUCAACAAGUCAAACAGAGUUUUAUUUGAGAUGUUCAAGUAAAAAAUGACUAUAGCAGGUCAUCUAGAAUUAUGUGGUCUAAAUUCAUGUAUAUAUCUAUAUAUAAUUGUGUUCUCUUUUUUUCACAUAUGCAUGUGCAUUUAGAUUUACAUAAUUAUAUAUGCAUAAUCAGAUUCAACUGUGAUAGCCCGGGAUUUAAUUCAGUAAUCAACUCUUCUGGGAACAUGUUGGUUAUGGUUUCUCUCUCACUGUCCUCUUAUUUAUACAUGACUUUGGCUUCAGUUGAGGAGCACAAAGCCUAAUGUUGAAGUGAAAGAGAUCAAAGCACCUGCAGCACCGGAGAAAAAAGGGGAAGCGGUAUGCACUCUAAUGUGGCUAUUUUAUUUCUAUGGAGGCAGAUCCCCAGAAAAAUGUUGCUCAUGUAAAUUAGUGAUGCAUUUAAAAGAAAAACCACUUUAUGUAUGUUUCUGUGAAAAAGAGAACAAGUUUAUGGAUUAAGUGAUAUUUUUUAUGGUGAAAUAAUCAAUAAUUUUCAAAAUAAUAAUAUAUUCGUGCAUGUUUUUGCAAUUCAUGAAUUCCUUUUACGAUUGAUUCUUCUCACCUCAGUGGAAGUGUGAAGAGCCUAAUGUUGCAGAAAAGGAGAUCCAAGUAGUCAAAGUAACAGACAUAAAAAAUGGGGGGAUGGAGCAAAGAGGGUAAGUUUUCCUUUUUAUUUAUAAGGAAGGCUGUCUUCACACAAGGAUUAUUGUUAUUAUUUUUAAGACAUGAAUGUUGAAUGCAUUUGGAAUUGUCGUUGAAUCAUGUGAAGUGUGAAGGUGCAAAUGGUGCUAAGAAGGAGAUCAAAGUGAUGGAAGUAACACAGAUAACAUUUGGUGAUACAGAACAGUGGGUAAGGUUUCUUGUCAUACUUAAACGGCACCUCAUAUUUCACUAGGAUUAAUUUUGGCCUACAAACAUAUUUGGCUACAAGUUGAAGACAGAUUUCCAGAUACUGGUAGAAGUUGAGACAUAAGUAAUGAAUGAGUUUAGAAACAUGCACAACUCUUGUGUGAAACACAAUGAGAGUGGAAAAUAGCUAAGUUGAAAAAUGGCCAAAUACUAUUUUGUAGUUCCCCCCACCACUUAAGUAAUUUUUGUCAUCCUUUGUGAAUGGACAAUGCAGUCCCUUCAGUAAUUCCGCUAUAUUCAUGACUUGGUGAAGCAUAUAACCAUUAGUGUCUUGUCCUAAGUUGACCUUUAAUGAUGAUCCAUUGAGAGGGAUCUGACUUUUGUCAACCCUCUUAGAGGUUAAACAUACGGGGCUUAACCCACUUUUCAAUCUCAUUGGAUAUAUGGCACGUGGUAUCCUCUUCAUCUUGAAAGAGUGAAGUGGUCAUACUCUUUCCUCCGAGUCCAUCGUGGCCAUGCACUUCUGGCUCAUUGGGCUGAGUGAAAGGAUUCCCUUCUGCUUCAAAUCAUAGAGAGAUAUGCCAUGGUCAGCCUCUUUAAUUUGAAGGAUUGAAGUACUCAAAUCCAUUUCUUUGCAUCCAUCUUAGUCCUGCUUCCAUGUCUCAUGGUUAACCAGGAAGAUCAAGCUUCCAUCCAUGAGAUCAGCAUCUGCAGGGUUAUGACUCCACCCUUCCUUGGCAUAGGAAAGCGAUCAUUAAGCCACAUGUCGGAUGACAGAAGUCGUCAUUCAGGUUAUCUUGAGAACUAGGGAAGUUGGAAUUCUAAUUAUUGCAUAUGGUUCUUGAUGUUUAGCCAAUAUACUAUAGGAUUUUAAGCAUCAUGCCCAUGUGCAUUGUGGUUUUUUAUCAGCUAUAUGGUUUACCAAACUGAGGGAUUGAUUAUAGUCAUAAGUACCCUUUUCCCAUUAAUUUCUUGCAUGUGCUUUGCUGAGAUUAUGUUUUUGACAGUGCUAAUCAGGGCAAACCAACAAACAGCUUUAUGUUAACUUUUACAAACUGCCACAUUUUCAGGUUGAACGAUCAGACAUAAAUCUUGGUGAAACUAGAAGUAAUACAACCUGUGCUGUGGAGAUAAAAGAAAGGGCAGCAGCACUGGUGGCUGCAGAAAUUGAGGCAUGUAGAGACAAUAGAACCCCCGAGAUACCUCUGCAUAAGAAAGUCCAGAAAGAGUGGGCUUGUGCUGUAUGCCAGUUCACAACCCAAAGUGAAGUGACCUUCAAUUCCCACCUUCAAGGGAAGAGACAUCAGGCCACUUCUGAGCAGUUGAGAGCCAAAAACCAGGCAACCAAAACCAAUUGUUCCCCAUCUGCUUCAAAGGCCAAGAAAUCUGAUCAGUCCACCAAAGAGGAGCAACCAAAGUGUCCUUCCAACAAUCUGAAUUCCAAAAACAAUGGAAUCUCAGCUGCUUCAACAGUGAAGAAACCUGACGAGACCAAAGAUGAUGAGCAACAAAAGUGUGCAUCCAGCAAUGGACCAAACCAGAAGAAUAACAAAAAGCAAGAGGAGAAGGUGCUAGUUCUUGAGACCAAUGAGCAAGGCCAUCAGAAUAAUUUUGAUCCACGAUCCCACAUUUAUUUUGGGUCUCACAAGUUUCAAAUUUGCAGAAAAAUGAAAGAUGUUUGAGAGAAAAUUAAAUCAUAUUGCACUACUGUUAGGAAAAAUAUGGCUGAAUCCAAUUGCUUUUCUUCUCCAAGUCUAUUAAAAAUAUAAUUUUUUCUCCAUUCCUGACAAAAUUUAAAUUUUUUCCUUAAAAAAAAAAAAAUUAAGUUUGAUCACCUAACACAUCUUUCUAAACUCAAUCUCAACUUGAAAAAUCAAACCUUAAUGGAUGGACUAUAGAAAUAGUGAGAAAACACUUCUGGGGUUUUUUUUUUCUUCCAACAUCAAAUUUUUCUAUAUAUGGGAUUUCACAUGCAAAAGCAGGAGUAGAUUUGCUUGUGUUUGAUGUAUGUAUUAGAAAAAUUUGUCCCUUCUGGGAUGUUUAAUACUUUUCUAUUCUUUUAUAUGCAUGUUUAGCUAGAAGAUAUAGAAUCGAUACCAUUCCUUAAAAGUGAUAGCCACAACUGUGAUAAUUAAACACCAAAGAAUGUGAAGAUCUAUAUAUUCUUUUUUUUUUCCUCUCUCUUUCAAUAAUGAAGCUAAGAUGUGUUGUAAGCAUCAAAUGCAUUGUCUCUGCUUGAAUAUAUACAAAGCCAAGGACCACAAGAUGGAUAGAUAUGGGGACGCACAAAACUUCUCAAACAUGAUUAUAUUAAUCAAGAAUUCAACUAAGCUUAAAUUCAAGAUGUUGAUUUCUAGCAUCUCUGGUGCUAUAGGAUGACUAUUGAUCCUGUACUGUUAUGUGCCCUACUGAUAUAUUCUUCGGGUUGUUAUGUAUAAAUAAAAUUUUUGGGAAAGUUUGCUUGGUGGUUACACUAUCACUAUUUAGGCCAGUAAAAAUUGGAAGCCUUUGUAAAAAACUGAUGGUCCAAGAGCUAUUCUACUUCAUCAUCCAUGUAAUAUGACGAUACAAAUUUGACUAAAUGCAGCUAUAGAAGGCUUAGGACCAUAAACCAAGCCUAGUCGAUGUCACUCACCUAAAUUUAUGCAUAAAGCUUUUGGAUGGCUCAGAGUUAUAUUUAAUUACUGUUAUGUUCGCAACUAUAUUUUCAUUGGAUUUAUAGUCCAGCUUGAGAACUAGUCCUCCAUUGCACAUAAUGUCCACACAAGGCCACAGUGCCCGCUCAAAGGCCAUAGCGCUACUCAAGGAUAUAGUGCUUACUCAAGGCCAUAGAGCCCACCUAAGGCUAACGACCCAAAAGGAGAAAAAGGUUGGUUCCACGUACUCUAAUAUUUACUAGAAAAGGUUCUUCCUAUUAAAGAACAAAAAAUUGCAUUCCCUUGUGACCAAUCCAAACAGUAGACCACUGACUUGUAUAAGGCAUUAUUCACCAUGCAAGCACUUUUUCAGCAACCUACCAUCUGGCAUGAACCAUUUUGGAUUGAUUCACAAAGCAAUGGUGUUAUAUUAAGCAUAUUCAAUAUAGAACCAAAUUGUGCCUCCUUAGAUUAACUAAAAUAUUUCCAUUGCAAGAUGUGCAGAUAGGCAUAUGAUCAUGAAGUAAUUUCCUGAUGAUAAUACCCCACAAAAUAUUUCUUUUUCUCACUGAUCUCUCCUAGAUUUUCAGUUCACCCAUCCAUGGCGCCUGACUAAAAAUGGGGGCAUUUUGGAUACCCCGAGCAGUAAGUUAGCCUGGUAGGCAUCCCGUUGCAAGCAAAGUCAACCCGAGCGGUCCAUUUGACCAAAGCUUAUCCAGGCAGUAAGCGUCCAUAUACAGCUAACUGUUAUGCACCAUCAACAGGUUGAGGUUACAAGAUUAAAGAGUCAUAAUGGCCAAAUGGAAGUUACACGACUCGGCCUAUAUAAUAACAGUAUGACAAAAAAUGCAGGUAUGAAGAACUAUCACUGAAAAAAUUUAUUCCUAAAAAUCCUUUAAGCUCCUUUAAGCUAACUUGGGCAUUGGAGAGGUCUCUCCGAAGCACACUCGAGCUUACCUUUUUGUAAGACAUCGAGAACAAGAGGCAUUGAAGUGAUUGUCCGGAGGGUUGAACUUGGUCGGGAACCAACAAUACACACUAUUCAAAAAUAGGGAUCAUAUUAAAUUAUUAAUGCAACCAUAGGAAGCAAUUGAGGACAAGGGUGUUAUUUGAUUAAAAGGGUAAUUGAAAACCUAAAUUUUGAAAUUUAACCCUCCAUUCUAUUUGGCCUUAUGUGAACAAAAAUGCCUUCAUUAUUUUCUUGUAAAAAUAACUCACCCAUUUAAACCUUACAUGAAAAUACUUAAAAUGGUAAAUGAUAUGUUAAAAAUUGAUUAUUUUUCAAAUAAAACAUAAGAAGGGUCAAAUUCAUGAAAGGAUUAUUUCAUCCCUUUUAAUCAAUUAAUUCGAUUUAUUUCUUUUUAUUUUUUUUCUCUCCAUGUUAAUUUUCACAUCACCCAACAACACCACUCUUAAUUCACACAAGUUUGAAGUUUUUGAAUGAGAUAUAUUCGUAAUUAUAUUGUAAUUGUGUUAUAAUAACCAUUUCGUACUUGGAUUUGUUCUUUCAGUCCAUUUAACCUUUUUGUUUAUUCAUGUCAAAACAAUGUACUUAUAAUCGAAUCCAUUUAUGACAUGUUGAUCUUAUAUAAAUUUAUUAAUUUUAUAUAUUUAAAAAUUAUAAAAAUUAAAUAUACUUUUUCAAUUAUGAAUAUCAUAUUACUAAAAUAUUAAAUAACAAAUUAACUUGAAAUGCUAUAUAUUUCAUUAAUUAUUUUAUAAUUAAAACAUUAAAUGAAAUAAUAAACAAGUAUAAAAUAGAAAAUUCUAUCUUAGUUAGAAAUUAUAAACUGUUAUUGAGACAUAUAAGUAUUAAAAUUCUACCCAUUUCACUACCAAACAACUUAUGUUUUUAGUCAUAAUUUAACCUUAUGAUGAACACUUAAAUAAAAUUUGUCAUCUUUUUCUAUUGAUUUAUAUUUAUUUAUUUAAAAAUUUUGUCUGGCAUAAACUAUCAUCUCACAAAAUCAUCAUUGAUGAGUAGGCUAUGCCCCAGUGUAAGCAUCUCCAAAUCAAACAUCAAUGAGAGGAGUACAACCAAUCAUACAUCAUCUUAUCAAAAUGAAUCUCCGCUUUUCAAAGUCAUCGUGGUAACGUGAAGAGAGUAUUUGACCUCCUCUAAAGAAAAAACAUGUCUUGAUGUGAAAAAGAUCAAGCAAAGUGGUAUGCCUCAACAAAAAUGUGCUCAAACAUGAUCAUGCCCCGAUGUAAGUUAGUAUCUCUAAGAUCAAUCGCCAAUGAAAAGGUUAUUCCCCAGUAUAGGGCAAACUCUGAAAUGACUAAACUCCGUUGCAAGCUCUCAUAAGUGUCUGUGUCAUGAUCCAAUCAUCGCAAAAAUUUGUCAACAAUGAUGAGAAGGCUAUGCUCCUAUAAUCACAUCAAAGAAAUCACUCGGUCAUAUUACUCCAAUGUGAAAGAAAUCUAAUCACCUCCAAGGAACAGCUAUGCCUCAAAACCAUCAUCGACUGAGAGGGGGAUGCCCCUGAUCCAAUCACCACCCUAACUAACGUACCCAUCAUGAGGAACACUUGUUUGAGCUCCAUAAUGGGGAUCAACCAUUAGAUGAACAAGAUUCGAAUAUUACUUGCUCCCCAUUUCAACCAAUGAAUGAUGUACCUGGAAACCUUGUAGACAACCAUAGUUUUCAGCCUUCUUCCUCGCGAUCAUCUAGAACAGAGUCGGUAAGCUUCACUCAUUUCUUAUAAUGGACCUUGACCCACAACGUCGAACUACCUGUAUGCAAAAUUAUCCGUCCAGAAAACCCAUCCAUACAAUUCAGGUUCAAAACCCACAAGAACCACCCUAUGAAUAAACUAAUUAUAGCUGGCUUCGUUGCAAUAGGCAUUAACUUUCUUAUGCUGACAGUCCUAGCAUCAUUUACCAAAGGAUCAACAACUUUUCCAUGUCAGAGAACAUUAUCAAUCACAAUGACACCCCUGGUCCUCACUAGUUGCGAUAGCAAUUUAAAGUAUUCUUGAUUCAAAGGGUAAACAAAACAAAAAAGAAAACCCUAAGUGUGACUCCUUAUUUGAAAAAUGUGGUUUAUGAAAAACCGGAUCGAGCUUAGGGGUCAGGUUACUUAUCGGGAAGGUACAAAAAAAACCGUAGCACCCCUCUAAGUCCCUAAAAUGGGUCUCUAUUGAUAAAAUGAAGCAAUCAUGGCAAUUGGUAAGGAAAUCAUUGAGUAUCAACAUGAUCACACAUUGAGAGUUAAAGCAUGCAUGAGGAAUGGUCAAAGUGAGAAAGGAUGCGUACCUUAGCAACGAGUCCCAAUGCGCUAUCAAGAAAUUGGGUUAGUGCACAAUCAAUAAAUAUAAAAUAUAACACACAUGCAUCACUAAAUAGGGUAAUAAAUCCCCGAUGACAAACCUUGCACUUCACUCAGGUUUAUUUCUACUUCUCUGAUGUUGGGCCCCACCAAAGCUCAUUUUAUUUUGCAUGAAUCAACUCCAAUAACUCCAUUAUUCGGAAUUACGAAAUUUAAUUCUUGCUUAUUUUAAAGCAUUUUAAAAAUAGAGGAGAUAUGAGAAUUGCUCGCCAGAAAAGAAGAUGGCGGCAAAAUUUUAAUGAAAAACGAGUUUUUGGAACCUAAGAAAAAUGUUAAGGAUGGAAAAUUUUGGAGGUUUGAAAUUAAUUAAAAAUUAGAAUUGAGGAAUUUAUUUACAAAAUGGGGUUUAGGAAAAUUAUUUUCAAAAAAAAAAAAUGAUGAAAUGAGAGAUGGCACGUGACACAAGGGUGGCCAUGCUGAAGGCGUUCUCUUCUGGCCCAAGCUGGAAAUGCACUCCAAUUAUCCUUCUUUUCUGGUAUAACACCUUCAUCAAAAUAAAUAGCUUUUGCACCAUACUCUGAUAGACAAGGACCAAUAACAAUGCCUAUAUUUGCCUUAAGUAGACAAAGUAAGUCACCCAUUGAACCUCCAAUAUAAAUUGUCAAGUGCUCUGUGUCAUUACUGCAUCCCUCCUUCAAGAUGUCCUUAGAAACCUAAAGCUUUUCCACGACAUACUCCAUCUUCUUAAUGAUUUCACCCGUGGAAAUGGAUUCUUCACAAGCCAACUCAUUUGAAUAUACUCUCAAAACACCCAUAUCACCUGAUGAAAAUGCUGAUCUAACGAAAUCGCCACACCAACAGUAUGAAAGUCCAUGAACAUCUGCUUUCAGAUUAUUAUUUUUAAGAAUCUUUUGGAAGAAACCUGUGCAACCAUCUUGAAGAAUUAGACCUUGACCAACCUGUUUUAUAUCAUCUGAAUUUAAACCCUUCAAUACUCCAGACUGAGUCACUCUUGAAUCUGCCUUUUCCUCAAAAUCAGAAAGUUGCUCAAGUGCUUUACAUAAGCCUUCAUAAUUGAAUUUUUCCACUGUUUCACUGGGGACGAUGCUUCCCAUGCAUUUUUCAAGCUCUUCAGUAUGCUGGGUAGAUAGAACACCCCAUGUGUGUGUCCAGAUCACCAUGAGUGACCAUUUGAACCUUGACGAAUGAGAGAGUACAUAACAUUUAAGCACACAGGACAUAUAUUAACAUUCUCCAUUAGCUUCUCUUUGCCUUUGUCCACCUCUUGACCUCCCAUGCAGCCAACUGUGAAGACCACGUCCAGGUGCAGUCACGUGGUGACACAUCUCAUGGUCUUCCUCAUCCAAUAAAUCACAUGCUCUGUUAAAUCUGCUACCCGAAUGGAUACCUCCUAUCCAUCAACCUGAAUAUACUCCGAGCUUUCUUCAUAAAACCCAAGAAACUCCAGAAGGCAUCAUGGUUCUCCUCCAUCAUUGAAAUGAUUAGGGAUAGUAAAUCACUCAUCCCUUAGCAAUAUCCCAUUUUUAAACCAUAGGGUGCGUAGGCUUCUAGAAUAGUAGCAAAGUGAGCAACACGGAAAAUCUUGCGUGGAUCCAAGUUCCAUGAUGGUGAUCGUAGCCUCACCUUUGAAAUCACAAGACCCAGAACCCAUUCGUUCUUCCUGGUAAUAACUAUCAGAUGCAUAGGAGGCAGGGUUCUUCAGAUUGUUGAUUUGGUAAAAGCCUCUUCUGGUUGAACCCCUGAAUGAUUCACUUUUCUCAGUCCGCAAACCUAGUUCAGAACAGCCCGCAAGAUCAGAACCUUAACCUAGGCGUGGAGAUCCAGUGUUGUAUAACGCCUCAAUUGUCGGAAGCAGCCAUGGCCCAAACAAUGAUAUAAUGGUCAGCAAGUUGUCCCCAAGGACCAUGACAGUGAUGAGCAUUUCCGGGCAGCGCGUCACCACGUUCCACGUCGCGACGGUAAUGGCUAUGGACUGAGUGUCAUGGUCAGGGAGCUUGAUGAAGCAGGUGAAAAUCUGGUGUUUUAGAUUCUGAGGCAAUGACUGCUUGAUCGGUCGGAUUCUAGUACCGGCGUUACAUUGGGGAGGCAAUCUUAAAGUUCCAACGGAGGUAGUAGUGGACUAAUAUUCCUCAAUAACCAAACUUGAGUUUCUCACUUUCCGCUUCUCAAGGCAUUCACCUGAAACGCUUCAGGCGCCCAAACCCUUUCUGCUCAUCAGUAUAAUCACGCGCAUGAAAGUCUUAACUGCCUUCUAAACUUCACAACUUCAUCUUGCAUCUGGGUCAUCGUCGGCACGAACUUAUCACCUGAUUCAGUUAAUAUCCCCAUAUAACAAGUUCCAAUGAAGUCGCAACUUUGCAUCUUCUUUUCUGCGAUUACUUUGAUUCUCAAAGCCGAUUACUUGUUGCAGUCCAUAGGAGAUUCAAUAAUCAAACAUCAUGCACAAGCAAAAAGGCAACAAAAUACAUCGGCAUGUGGCCCAUACACCCUCCAAAAUCUUCACUCAUUUAGUAAGUUUUAGAUUCAAAAGAGUUAGCCUUCUGGUGAGCAACCCGAUACCCAUAACGAAUGAUGUAUCUGAAACACCUUUCCCACGUGGCCCUUGAAGGAUUCACUAGAAGGUGACCAUGCAUAGUAGGUCUUCACUCGCAGGAGAAUGAGAAGGAAAUAAACCUAAAGGGGGGUUGACAGCGUAGUCUAGAAGGUGAUGAGCUGAGCGGGUGGGGGUAUUAGGGUGGUCAAGUUCAGUGGGUAUGAAGGGUGGAAAGAUGGCAUGAUAGAGGAAUAAGCAGCUGAUAGUGGGUGCGAUGAUAUAAGGUAGGUUGACUAUGGAGAGUAUGGCAUUAAAGGAUGAAGACUUAGAGAGAGAGAGGUGGGUUUAAGGGUAUGGUGAGAUGGAGGGUUGAGGGUGAUAGGCUUGGAUAGUUGCAUGAGGAGGAUGAAAGGUGGGUAUGGAAAAUGUGCAUGGGUAGGAAAUGGGUAUAACAAUGGGUGUGAAUAUUGAGAGGUAGUGAAAUGAAGGCAGCCUUGCUCGUAUGGAUCAGUGUCGGAUUGAGUUAAGAAUGGUGAGAGAAAGGGAUUCGAUGAAUAUUGAAUGAUGGAAAAUGGUGAUUGGUUAGAUAGGGAUUUGUGGUCGAAUGGAAAUAGGAGACAUGAACAUAGAGAUGAGUGUGAUGGAUGAUAGUGGGCAUGAAGGGUAUUGGAUUUGUUCAUGGGUAUAGUGGUUAAAAGAGUGGUGAGAAGAAAAAAAAAUGGCCAUGUAAAUAGCAAUUAUACAUGUGGGCCCGUGAUUGCAAACGGGACUGCAUUGUUGCAUCUCAUGCUGAACCCUCACCUCCUUCUAGGAUCAUUUUCUGCAUCAAAGCUAGAUAAACUUAGAUGGUAUUUCCUGCCAAUUUUGGAUGCCCCCCACUUUGGAAAUAUUUCCUUUUCACCCAUCAGAAUAUGCUUAUCAGGUGUACUUGACUCAGGUUCAUUCCCAUAUUGCCUCUCUGAUUUAUGAUCUUCAAAGGUUUUGCAUGAAGGAAGCCUUUCACUGCAUUCCCCUUCAUCCACCAGACCUUCAGAGCAUCGUUUCCAACAAAAGCAACCUUGACUCUUCUAGUCCCAUCAGAAAAAAGUCUGAAUAUCCUCAGUUUAUGUCAUCCCUUGAUGCCCAACUCAGAAAUGAUCCAAAAAACAGUCAUCUCCCAUAUUUGGCUUCCCAGAAACACCUCGACUCAGAUGGCCAGUCCAAAUGUGAUACCCAACAUUCUAAAAAUGCUAAAAACAGAGGAGAUGAUGAAGAAAAACAGAGCAUGUAUAAAAGAAAAAAAAAAGGACUGUUAAAUCUCACUCCAUUCCAUAAAUGCUAAUGGGGUGGAUAUGGUGGAAUCAAAAGGAAGCAAGAGCGUGAUCUUCAAAAUCAAAAGCAAUGAUGGAUCCAUAUUCAAAACGUUCCAGAAUAGAGAAAGACACAAAUAAGGAGCAGGGUUUUUUUUUGUUACUGGCAGGAAGAUAUUUUUUCUAGAGAGUAACUAGAGAGAAAAAUAGGAAGAAAAGGGAAGAGCAUAGAAGACAUCUACAUAGGAGAGUAUUCAUUGUUGUGAGGAGUAGUAGAGAGCUUAGGAGGAGUUACAAAGAGAGUGAGUUUGGUUAGAGGAGGAAGUUUUGUUGGUUUUUCAGAAAGGAUUCUAGCUUGAGUGAGAGCCAUUCUAGAGAGGGUUAGAGAGGAGAAAGGUGUGUUUUGAGCAGCAAAGACACGAAGCAAAAUAGAGCAGCCAGGAAAGAGAAGCAGAAAAUCAAAAUUACUAAAAAAUUAGUGAAAGCUGUGAAAUUUCAUAUUGUUACUAAUUAUUAUAAUUUUUUUUUGUAUUUUCAAUAUUUCAACCAAUAUUUUAUAUAAUUAAAUUUAAAUUAUAAGAAUUAUAUUAUUAAUACACAUAACUAUCUUAAUGUUUUAACAAUGUAUACUUAUUUAAAUUUAUUUCAAUUUUUUUAUUUUUUUAUAAAUAUCUAAUUAGACUUAUAAUUCAUUGAAAUUAUUCAUUUUUUUUUUACUUCAUAAACCAAUUAUAUUACUUUUUGUAUUUUCAAUAUUCAUUUGGAAAAAAUAAUUUCAAUUUAAAAUAAAAUAAAUUAAUUAACUCUCAAUUUAUAAAUUGUGUCAUUGAAUUAUUUUUUAUUUAUAAUAUUUAGUUUAUUUUAAAUUUAAUUUUUUUUCUUCACCUUUUGGUUUAUCACUUUAUAUUAAAAAAUAAAAUAAAAUUGAAUUUCUUUUAAUUUAUAUUUUCACAAAUUAUUCAAUAUUUUUUUAAUUUUUAUAAAAUAAAUCCUCAGAUUAUAUAAUUGGAUGUUGUAAAGAGUUAAAAUUUUUGUGUUGCAUUGAAUUAUUUUUUCUAACAAAAGUAUAUUUGGGUACCGUAGACAUUAUAUCCAUAUCUUAACGUAUUAUAUACUUUUAUUUUGUGCAAUUAGCAAUUGAGCGGAAGACGCGGAGCCGGCUAACGGAAAUACCGCGUGUCACGCGUGUCCCUUCCCGUACCAAGUCUCAACUGCUUCAAGAUUUCCGACGCGCCCUUCUUCGCUUAACUCUUAAGUCUUUUCUUCCACUCUUCCUUAAACCCAUCACAUUUCGCCGCGUGGACCUAAGUCUCAAUGUCCUUGUGUUCAUACGAUGUAUGUUCCCCCAAUUCCUCAUCUACACUGAAACUCCAUACUCGCCUACUCAAUCACUUCUCUACUCUAGAGUCUGGAUGCUUAUCUCUGCGCGUGUCGAUGGCUCUUCACCCCAGCGAGUAUGGCAUUACAAGGGCAAUAUCGUCAUUAAAGACACAACAGAGUGUCUAUUUUAUUUAAGCUGUACGUAAUCGUGAUUGACUUCUUAGUAUCCUUUUGCUCCUAGUCUUCUCCCGCGUCUCUUAUAAAAACUAAAGAAAACCACUCCAAGAGAGCACACUACAAGAAUCUUCUUCCUUUUUUUCUUUCCUCUUUCUCUUUACAGAUAAACUGAGAAAGCCCAGCUCAUCCCUCAAUUCCCAGAUGGGUUUCAUGAAUGUUCUCAAGUUCUCAGCUGCAUGCUUUGAUCUUCUUGGCUGGUAUGUUGUCCACGCGUUUUCUUGCCAUUGGAAAUUUUUGGGAAAUGAAGUGGAAUUCUCUGUUUGAGGACAAACAUGGGAUUUUCUUUGAUUUCUCCCUGUUGGUUUUAUCUAUAUUCUUUGAAUUACCCACAUUCUUGUCAUUGAUUGUUAGUCAUUUGUUUGGAUUUCUACUUGCAGGCCUCUAUGUGCACUGGGUUAUCCUCUGUAAGUCUUGGUCUUACACCUCAAGAUAUGAUGAUUCAUUUACUCUUUUCUUGUUCUACGAAUGGUUCAGUUACAUUUAUUGUGUUGGGAAACUGAAAAGGAAAAGGAUUAUUAGUUAUUAUCGUAAUAAUCAUCAACAUCAUCUCGGUUCUUCACAGAUGUGCUUCAAUUCGGGCAAUUGAGACUAACUCAAUCUCAGACUUUCGGAAGUUGGUGGCGUAUUGGGUUCUAUUUUCCUUGAUUUCACUCUUUGAUCAUGCUUUUUCCAAGCUCCUUGAAUGGUAAUUUUGCUCAACUGCAUUCCACUAUAUGUGACUCUGUUUGUUUCAUUUCUUUGCCCUUAAGGAAUUUGGAGUUGCUUUUUUCAGUUUUCUUUCCUAUGAAAAUAAUCGAGAGGUCUCCAUGUAUUUUAUAUUCCUUCAUUUCUCUGCUUUGACAAAGGCCCACAUUCUGAUCAGCAGAAAGGUUAUAACAUUUGAAAAAGAAGUGCUUUAUUUUUGUUUUUUGUUAGUACAAUAAUUUUCGUUUGGAUAAAUGGUCUGAAGGGUGUUUGUGUUUGGCUGAGUUCAUGGAAUUUUCUAGCUAAUUUGGGAUUUAUUCUCAAUUUCAAGAUCAUUGUGGAUAUGUCAGAAAUUAAUGAAAUAUAAACGGUGGAAUGUGAUUUUCUUGUUUAAGAAAAGUUUUUCUUUGAAAAUACGGGUGCACCUGACCUACCUUAUUGUGCUACUUGGAACACAAAACAUUAGUACAGGUAAUUUAUUAACUAAAUUGUACACUUUUUGAUAGUUCAAGGAGGUGGUUUUCUUCUUUUAGGGUGUCAGCUUUGGAAAUAGGAUGGAUCUAAAAGUUUUUAUGUCUCAUCUUUAUAGGGAACUUGAAAGCAUGGAUGCACUUAUUUCCAUGGAAUUUGGCUUCCUUGAAAUCAAAUUAAGCUUUAUGCAUCAUUUGGAUGCUGAGAAACAAAUGGAAAUAGAAAAUUCAGAAUCUGACAAGUUUUUGUAGGGCAACUGGAUCUAAUCUCUUAGUCGAAGCCUAAUUGGGGCAAAUGCUGAUCAUCUUUGGACCCCAUUGAAAGCUCUAAUCUGUGCACAAUUCUAAUGUUUUUGUUUUCUUCAUUUCUUUUUCAACUUUUCACAAUAGAUGUCAAAGGUUAAAACCAAAUUUACGCAGUCCAUCCAAGUGGAUGCAUAUAAAUUUAACAGAAACUGAAAUUCGAAGAAAUUUAUUUUCCCUUUUGUAAAUGGUGUUUAAAUAUUUUAUUUUCUUAUAUAAUGCAUGUCAGGGUACCAUUCUGGCCUUACAUAAAGCUGAUGGUCAUCUGCUGGCUGGUGAUACAGCAGUUUGAUGGUUCAUAUUAUGUCUAUCAACACCUAGUUCAGCCAUGCUUGUCCAUGGAUCCACAAGCUGUCAUGAACUGGCUCUUCAAUGAAUCAAAAAAGAAGUUUCAUAGCAGAGAAAACUUUCUUGUUUCAGCAGACCGAUAUAUUAAGGAGAAUGGACCUGAAGCUUUGGAGAAACUACUUUCUAGGAAGGUAUGCCAUUAUAAGUAGGAUUAUCAACAAGUCAAACAGAGUUUUAUUUGAGAUGUUCAGGUAAAAAAUGACUAUAGUAGGUCAUCUAGAAUCAUUUGGUCUAAAUUCAUGUAUAUAUCUAUAUAUAAUUGUGUUCUCUUUUUUUCACAUAUGCAUGUGCAUUUAGAUUUACAUAAUUAUAUAUGCAUAAUCAGAUUCAACUGUGAUAGCCCGGAAUUAUUUCAGUAAUCAACUCUUCUGGGAACAUGUUGGUUAUGGUUUCUCUCUCACUGUCCUCUUCUUUAUACAUGACUUUGGCUUCAGUUGAGGAGCGCAAAGCCUAAUGUUGAAGUGAAAAAGAUCAAAGCACCUGCAGCACCGGAGAAAAAAGGGGAACAGGUAAGUUCUCUAAUGUGACUAUUUAAUUUCUAUGAGGCAGAUCCCCAGAGAAAUGUUGCUCAUGUAAAUUACUGAUGCAUUUGAUUCAAUGGCAUGGUUUUAAAAGAAAAACCACUUUAUGUAUGUUUCUGUGAAUAAGAGAACAAGUUUAUGGAUUAAAUGAUAUUUUUUAUGGUGGAUUAAUCAAUAAUUUUCAAAAUAAUAAUAUAUUCGUGCAUGUUUUUGCAAUUCAUGAAUUCCUUUUAUGAUUGAUUCUUCUUGCCUUUUUUCUCACCUCAGUGGAAGUGUGAAGAGCCUAAUGUUGCUCAAAAGGAGAUCCAAGUUGUCAAAGUAACAGAGAUAAAAAAUGGGGGGGAUGGAGCAAAGAGGGUAAGUUUUGCUUUUUAUUUAUAAAGUAGGCUGUCUUCACACAAGGAUUAUUAUCUUUAAGACAUGAAUGUUGAAUGCUUUUGGAAUUGUCCAUGAAUCAUGUGUAGUGUGAAUGGCCUAAUGCUGCUAAGAAGGAGGUCAAAGUGACAGAAGUAACACACAGAACAUUCGGUGGUACAGCACAGUGGGUAAGGUUUCAUGUCAUAUUUAAAUGGCUCCUCAUAUUUCACUAGGAUUAAUUUUGCCCCUACAAACAUAUUUGGCUACAAGUUAAGACAGAGUUCCAGAUGCUGAUAAAGUUGAGACAUAAGUAAUGAAUGAGUUUAGAAACAUGCACAACUCUUGUGUGAAACACAAUGAGAGUGGAAAAUAGCUAAGUUGAAAAAUGGCCAAAUACUAUUUUGUAGUUCCCCCUACCACUUAAGUAAUUUUUGUCAUCCUUUGUGAAUGGAAAAUCCAGUCCCUUCAGUAAUUCCGUUAUAUUCAUGACUUGGUGAAGCAUAUAACCAUUAGUGUCUUGCCUUAAGUCGACCUUUAAUGAUGAUCCAUUGAGAUGGGUCUGACUUUUGUCAACCCUCUUAUUCCCUUGAUCAUAGAGGUUAAACUUAGGGGGCUUAACCCACUUUUGAACCUUAUUGGAUAUAUGGCACAUGGUAUCCUCUUCAUCUUGAAAGAGUGAAGUGGUCAUACUCUUUCCUCUGAGUCCAUUGUGGCCAUGCACUUCUGGCCCAUUGGGCUGAGUGAAAGGAUUCCCUUCUGCUUCAAAUCAUAGAGAGAUAUGCCAUGGUCAGCCUCUUUAAUUCAAGGGAUCGAAGUACUCAAAUCCAUUUCUCUGCAUCCAUCUUAAUUCUGCAUUCAUGUCUCAUGGUUAACCAAGAAGAUCCAGCUUCCAUCCAUGAGAUCAGCAUCUGCAGGUUUAUGACACCACCCUUCCUUGGCAUAGGAAAGGGAUCAUUAAGCCAUGUGUUGGAUGACAGAAGUCAUCAUUCAGGUUAUCUUGAGAACUAAGGAAGUUGGAAUUCUAAUUAUUGCAUAUGGUUCUUGAUGUUUAGCCAAUAUACCGUAGGAUUUUAAGGAUCAUGCUCAUGUGCAUUGUGGUUGUUUAUCAGCUAUAUGGUUUACCAAAAUGAGGGACUGAUUAUGGUCAUAAGUACCUUUUUCCUAUUAAUUUCUUGCAUGUGCUCUGCUGAGAUUAUGUUUUUGACAGUCCAAAUCAGGGCAAACCAACAAACAGCUUUAUGUUAACUUUUACAAACUGCCACAUUUUCAGGUUAAACGAACAGAGAUAAAUCUUGGUGAAACUAGAAGUAAUACAACUUGUGCUGUGGAGAUAAAAGAAAGGGCAGCGGCACUGGUGGCUGCAGAAAUUGAGGCAUGUAGAGACGAUAGAACCCCCAAGAUACCUCUUCAUGAGAAAGUCCAGAAAGAGUGGGCUUGUGCUGUAUGCCAGGUCACAACCCAAAGUGAAGCGACCUUCAAUUCCCACCUUCAAGGGAAGAGACAUCAGGCCACUUCUGAGCAGCUGAGAGCCAAAAACCAGGCAACCAAAACCAAUUGUUCCCCAUCUGCUUCAAUGGCCAAGAAAUCUGAUCAGUCCACCAAAGAGGAGCAACCGAAGUGUACUUCCAACAAUCUGAAUUCCAAAAACAAUGGAAUCUCAGCUGCUUCAACAGUGAAGAAACCUGAUGACACCAAAGAUGAUGAGCGACAAAAGUCUGCAUCUAGCAAUGAACCGAACCAGAAGAAUAACAAAAAGCAAGAGGUACAGACCAAUGAGCAAGGCCAUCAGAAGAACUUAAAGCAAACUGGCGAUGGAAUGAAAGAGUUGAGAUUAUGCUGCAAUAUCUGUAAUGUAAGCUGCACAAGUGAGCUUGACAUGGCCUCUCAUCUCAAUGGAUGGAGGCACUUUAAUAUGAUAAAGGAGGCGUCUGAAUUAUGGUGCAGUAACUGCAAUGUAAGGUGCAACAGUGAGGCUGUCAUGGCCUCUCACCGAAAUGGGAGGAGGCACUUGAAGCAGCUGAAGGAACGGUCGGGAUUAUAGUGCAGUAUCUGUAGCGUGAGAUUGUGUUAGGAAGAGGUGGAAUGGGUUCCAAUCAGGAAUUAAGACUCGGUUCCAAGACAUGGAAAGUGUCUUUAGAUUAUGUUAUCUCCAUUUUUUUUAUUGUGAGAGGGGAGUAUAAGGAAUGAAAAUAAAUAUAUAUAUAUUUUUUAAUAGAGAUGAAUUUGAUAAUUUUAAUUAUUGUGUUUUGAUGUAUUUAGGAAUGUAAAAUUAAAAUAAUUAUUUAUUUUCAUUUUAGUAUUUGACAAUAAUAAAAUUAUGAAUUAAAAAAUAAUGUGAUAAUAAUACAUUUAUAUUUAAUUUAAAAUAUUUUUUAUUUUAUUUUAGAAGAAUAUGGGUUAAAUUCUUUUUUUAAAUAAUAAGCUUAAGAAAAAUAAUUUUUACUCAAUAAAUAAAAUUAAUCAUAAAAAGUCAUAACAACCUAAUAAAAAUAUAGGGGUAAAAUAAUAAUUUUAAAAUAUUAUUUAAGUUAUCCAAACAAAUUUGACUCUUCAUUCUCUCUCUUGAACCAAAUACGGUCUUUUAAGCGUUUGUCAACUUAUUUUUUUUUGCAAAAUAUCAAUAUUUUACUAAUAUUUUUAUCGAUUAUUUGCCAAUAUUUAUCGCCACGUCACCAAUUCUUUGAGUUUGACUUUCAAAAUUUUGAAAUGAUAUUUGAAGUCCAGUUCAGCCCAAAUCACUACACCCAUGAUUUUUCCCUUUUCUUUUUCUCCUUAAUUUUCACAUCACCCAACAACACUACUCUUAAUUCACACAAAUUUGAAGGUUUGGAACGAGACUUCUUCCUAAUUAUAUUGUAAUUAUGUUAUAAUAACCAUGUCGUAUUUGGAUUUAUUUAUUCAGUCCAUCUAAAUCUUUUGUUUAUUCAUGUAAAAAGAAUAUAGUUAUAAUCGAAUCCAUUUGUGACAUAUUCAUCUUUUAUAAAUUUAUUAAUUUUAUAUAUUUAAAAACUAUAAAAAUUAAAUAUAUUUUUUCAAUUAUGAAUAUCAUAUUACUAAAAUAUUAAAUAACUAAUUAACUUGAAAUGUUUUAUAUUUCAUUCAUUAUUUUAUAAUUACAACAUUAAGUGAAAUAAUAAAUAGGUUAAAAUAUAUAUUUUAUUUUAGUUAAAAAUUAUAAAUUGUUAUUGAGACGUAUAACUAUUAAAAUUCUACCCAUUUGACCAUCAAACAAACAACUUAAGUUUUUAGUCAUAAUUUAAGCUUCUGAUAAACUCUAUUUCCAUAAAUUAGAAACCGAAAUCAAUUUCUUCUUAGACUCAAAAACAUAAAGACAAUCUUUUAAUUCUAGAAGACAUCUAUCAUUUAAGAUAAGGGUAACAUAUCCCAUUGCCUAAACAACAACUCUUGCUUCAAAAGCCAAUGUCAAGUACAUAUCCCUAUCAUUCAACCUUUCCCUUAGCUAAAACCCCUAUAAAGAAUUAUAAACAUAAUCAAUGGCUCCAAAAUUUAUCCACCAAGAGUUAGUGGAAUCCAACACUAAACAUAAUUCAACUAUAAGAGAAUGAUGCAUAGUUGACUAUCUCUUCAAGAACUAAGGACAUUCCUUCUUCUUCUAAUGGCAUUUUUUACCACAAAGGAAACACUUGUCAUGACCCUUACUCUUCUUCUUCUUCCCCUUAGCCUUAAACUUCCCCUUCUGCUUGAUGAACUCUAUAGUGUUCUUCUUAUUUUGGCUAGAAAAACCUAAAGAACCCUUAACUGCCAUAUAAAUACCUCUCUGGUCCUUGAGAAUUCCCUCAGUCAUUUUGUGUUCUCUCAUUAGUUCAAUUGUAGUUUAAGAAAAAUAAUGUUUUUUAUUUUAUUUUAUGUGAUUGAACUUGGAAUGAAUUUCCAAGUUGCAUACAUACUUGGGUUGAGAUCAAGUCAUAACGUAGUUUAAGAAAAAGAUUUUUUAUUUUUUAUGUGAUUGAACUUGGAAUGAAUCUCUAAGCUACCUACGUAUCCAAGAUGGGAUCAAGUUCUAACAUAGUCACAAUGCAGUUCAAGAUUUUUUUUUUUCUUUUUUUGUGCUCUAACUUUUGUCAAGACUAAAGAUCUUAAUCUUGCAAGCAUGUCCUAACUUUUGUCUAGGUCACCUUUCCAAGUUUUCAACUUAGCAAACAUUUUUUUUUUUUGUUCUCUAACGUUUGCCAAGACAAAAGAUUUUAAUCUUGCAAGCAUGUCAUAACUUUUACCUAAGUCAGAUUUUUAGGUUUUCAAUGUGGUGGAUUUUUUUGUUUUUUAUUUUUUAUUUUUUAUUUUUUGUGUCGUAGGCAAUUUAGCUCAUACGGCCCAGAAGCGAUGUGUAGUUUGUUGGGAUUCAACCCUUAAAAGCAAAACAUGAUGUAACAAAGUUAGACUUAACUAUCCCCUUGCUAUCAUUUUGGUGUAUUAACAUUGAUUUAAACAUUCAACUCAUAUUUUACAUUGUACAUGACUUAGGUGCAUUAGGAGUUGCUCAUAAGAUACAUGGAUUCCUUGUAAGUAGAUGAGUUAUCCAUAGUCAGUUCAUGGAUUUGGGCAAUCUAGUAGAGACUGUAAUGCACCACCUCUUAAUUGAAGAGAUGACUUGUCUUGACAGUUGGGAUAGGUUUCCUAUGGUGAGUGCACUAGUAUAUAUGAUGCACAUUGGAUAGGACCUACGGUAAAUCAUGAGCAAAGCUAUCAAUUGUCAUGAUUCACCAAGUUACGAUACUGCAUGGACUCUCAAUCUUGAGAGGACAUUGAACCUGUGCCAAAAUCAACAAAAAGCUUUCACCUAUAGAUGAGACCUUAAAGUGAUCAUAUAUCCCUAUGGAUUGAGUCACUAUUGAUGAAGGUUGGUGGUAAUAGGUAUUCUCAAUAGAGGCACCAUGAUAUCUCAUGAGAUUGAGACGGUGUGUCCCCUUGGGUGAUACAAAGGACAUGUGAUCAUAAAAUCUGUGACCAUAGUAAUUCUUUUAUUGAAAUUUGACAUAUACCCCUUCGAGCUAGAGUAUGUCAGUUGAUUACAUAAUAAGUGGCAUCUAUAACUUAAGGAUUUGAGAGGUAAUCUUGAUAGGUGAUAGCACUACCUUGUUAGAUUAUGGACACCAGUUCAUGGGGAAUCUACAUGCAGUGGAUGAUAUGUCACGAACGCGAGCUUCAUAUCGUUGUUAUUAACAUAGGAUACUGGAGUGCAAUUGAUUCUCUUUAGUAGAAUGUUGAAUCAACUUCAAAAUGGAUUAUGAGGGAGCCAAUACUCCUAUGGGUCUUAAUGGUCCCCACUCUGAGCUCAUAUACCAUGAUGACACAGUUUAUGAGGGUUUGAUUGGCUUUAUGUUCAUUUUUGUGCAUAAGGGCAUUUUGGUAAUUACACAAGGUUACAUAGGGGAUAGUCAAUAAGGUCUUUAGAUUGGGCCAAUUGAUUAAUUAGAUGACCUUAUGUGGUUAAUUAAUCAAUUAUGAUAUGUUUAGGCUAGAUUAAAUGACCCAAGCCUUGAUGAAUUUAAGUCACUUAAGCCUAGCAGAUAACCUUAUAAAUACCCUCUUAUGGGUUAGGGUUUCCUAAUGACUUUCAGUUAAUCAUCUUCCAUCCCUAGAAAGAGAAAGAGAGCCAAAUCUUUCUCCCUUCCAUUGCCCACACUUUGGUAUGCCAAGAUCAUGGUUCAAGUCACUGGGAGGAAGAUCUUGGGUGUACAAGACCUUCGGACUCUUUAAGUUUCUUCUUCGUUGGAUGAAUUUUUAUUUGGGACACAUCUAGAUCAUAAGUAUGUGUUAGAAAAUUUGGCUAAUUCAACUUAAGGUAAUCACUCUAGAGGAGGGGUGAAUAGGGUGAUGAUCUUUUUUUACAAAUUUAAAUUAUGUGAAUGCAAGAGACAAUUAUACUAUGCAAAUAUAUAGUAAAACCAUAUAAAAAUAAUUGCAUAUAAAGUACAAGGGUAGAAAAUAGAGAAUAUAAACACAAGAUUUUUAUAGUGGUUUGGUGCAACUCGGCCUACAUCCAUUCUCCUCUAGCUUCAAUCCCAAGUUUGAGGUUCCACUAAUUCAAGGCUUCCAACCUAACCCUUCAAGCAAUACAAUUGGAUUAUGGUUCCAAUCAAACCUUUUGGACUUUUGGCUCUAAGCACCUUUUACAAUCUUUGAUUCGUGCCUAACUGGUGUUUGCCCUGUUGAUUGGUGUUCAAUCAACUGAUGUGCUUUGAUUUCAGUCCUCAGACGAGAGUAAUCAACAAAAUUUAUAAACCUAUUUCACCAUAUACUAGGGUAGCAUUAGCUAGCAUAGCAUAGUGGCUCUAGGAUCGUCCACAGGGAUGGGUUUUCAAAUUACAAUUGAUAUUAGUUCAAAAACUGAAUUGGUGUUUUUUCUUUUCAAGGUUAGCUUUAAAAGAAAACAUAAGUAUGUGUGAAAAGGUUGGUUUUAAGUGAAACCAAAAAUAAAGUAACUGAAAUUACUUACAAAGAAAAGUGCUUCUUGGAGUUUUAGAUCACUAGGCUCAAGUUCCUUAUACAAAAAGAGAGAUUCCGAUCACUUGGAUCUUUUCCUAGCAUUGGGGAUUUAACAUAUAGUUAUUUCCCGAACCGGUGCGGUACAGAUGCUUCCCCUUAAUGGUUUCAAACACUAAAUCUCUAUCACUGAAUCAUCUUGUAAUGGUUCAUACCUCUCACCUGGUAUUGGUCAUUUAAGGUGAUCAUUAACCUUGGAUUACCCGUCAAAAGCUCGCAAAAGAUAACUAAUGAAUGUCUCCUAGGAGUCCAAAAGCUUACCAAGUGUUGGCUAUUCUAGAUAAUCCUACCUUUAAACCAUCUCCCAAAAGCUCGCAAGAGAUAAACUAGUGGAUCUCAAUGGACGGAGUCCACUUGCCUUACCAAGUGUUGGCCCAAGUGAUUUUAAGGGAUUUUAAGUUAACUAAAAAGAUAAAAACCAUUAACGGGUCACACUUUCUCUUCAUUAAAACCUGAAACAAUGAAACUUCCACUUUUGUAUACGAAACCUUACCUAGCUUCCUUCACUCCAAGAAACAAAAAGCCUAGCCACUCAUCCUCUAGGAAAACAUCCUCAGAGUUUGAUUUGGUAGAAAUAAAAAUAAAAGAGAAAACCAAAUGUGAAGGUAAGGCCGAGCAGAGCUCUGUGUAUUACUUUAUGAAAAACUAUACAAAAUUUGUCUCUAAGAGAAACUCCCCCGAGAUCUCUUUUAAAAGAAAAUUACAAUAGAUAUCAUAUAAAGAGGCUAUUCACCCCUCUUGCUAACUUCCCAACCAUGAAAACUUGUCAAUGGUGGGUUACAAGGAGAAAAUAGGGAUUUACACACAAAUAUUUGAAGAUAAACAUCAAACUGAGUCGGUGCGCAAAUAUCUCAGAUUACAAGUGGAUUUCGCAAGUUCAAACGCAACUUGCAAAAAUUUUGCAAGUUGAAAUUAUGGUUUCGCAAGUUGCGAAAUUGUCCUGCAACUAAUCAGCUCUCUGUCCUACAACAAUUCCUUUCCUCUUCCUAUUUCGCAAGUUGUGAGAAUUUCGCAAGUUGGAUUCCACAACUUGCAAAAUUGUUGGAUGGUUGAUUUCUUUUGUGAUUUUCUUCCUUGCAUCCUCAUUUGGCUUUGGCAAAGGGUUAUGAAGCUCCAAAGCUUAGUUUCUUCAUGAAUUUGAGCUUCAACUUGCUUUGCCAUGAACUAUACAAAGAUCUCCCUCAUUCUUGGAUUGCUUUGGUGAUAAAAAAGCUAUGAAAAACACCAAAACUUAACACAAUUUGAUUAGAAACGAUUGUAAGGGUCUUUAACAUGCCAAUUGAGUUAAAAGGUAAUAGCUACUACUCAAAAGUGUUUAAAAGAGUUAAUUACAAGCUAUAAAAUGACCCUUUUUGAAGUUCAACCCCUUAAGUGAUACCCCUUAAGUGAUACCCCUUAAUUCAAGAGAUGUCUUACUCUUAAACAACCCCUUAAGUGAUACCCCAUACUUGAGAUUCCCUAAGUGAUGCCUCACACUUAGAUUUUUCAUCUCAAAGAUUUACAAAUGAAGAUAGGAAAUAAUCUCACAAAAUCUUAAUACAAAACAUUAGGCUCAAAUGAUACAAGAUAAACUAUGAUUGAAUGGUGCACUAAUAAUAUGCAAGUUUUAAAACAAUGAGUACUAAAAAACACUCUCCUAAGGUUCAAAUAUAUUCAAGAAAGAUUUAAGAAGGUUAAACUCUUGAAACAAUAAAGAUUGAAACCUUUUUAUGGAGGAGAAAUGCCAAACUAGUUGUUGGGGGUUUGUCCAGUCGAGUUCUGGUUUGACCGGUUCACUAACCGUUAGCAUUUAAUGCAUGAUAGGUGAUCAUUGGGCCUUGACCAUCCCUCGACCAGUACUCAACCGGAUAAAGUUCAACCUUAAUCAAUCGAAUAAGCAUUCUAGAAUAGAGAGAAGGUUUUUGCACCUUUCAAUCAGUUGAGUUGAACAAAUAGACGGAUUCCUUAUCCAGUUCAACCGGUUGAGCCAUUUUUGGCUCAACAAUCAUCAUUUUCAACUUAAAACCUUUUAAACAAGUUUAGAAAGCAUUUGACACAAGGAUUUAGUUGAAAACAUUAAAUCAUCCUAUUUUUAAAAGAUUUAAAACAAAAUACCUCUUGAAUGAUUUUGGUGUAUAAGUAAAUAAUGUAAUGCAUGAAAAACCCAGUGCGCCAACAACCUUACAAAGAGAUCUUAUGAGGCUUAGGUAUUGAAAAACACUUCUCUUUAAGGCAGACAACAUCGUGUGAAUACCAAAGGGGAACUCUACGUUCCUAGGGAAAGAUGCCUCGUCAGUACGUCUUGAGGUUGUUCACUAACUUCGGGGUUACCGGCUUUGAGAGGAGCCCUUUGAUGACAUUUGGGCAUGCAACUCUUCAUUUUCUUCCUUGAUUCGCCUUGUUUGGUGGAUCAAAGAUUGCAUAUGCCAGUCAUUUUUGCACUAGGUUCUCUCCAUGCUUUCACGCCAGCCAAAGUAGCUUUCGUUACCCAUAGUUGAGGAUCGGCUUCUAAAGGGUACUAACAUCCUUAGUCAUUCCCACAGAUGACACCAAUGUUGGUUCUGAGUCGGCUGAAGUCAAAUUCAUCCAACUUAACGGAAGUUUGACAACCUUCCUCCAUUUUUUGUGCCUCUUAGAGAAUCCACCUAGCAGUAAUGAGAUUGGGCGAACUCCUUUCUUGCACAAAAGAAUGUUCAGAUGAGUACUUCGGGUACGCCCUUCGAAGCUUAAGUGAGGCAAAAAUAGCUCAAACUACUUAAUGAGAGAGAGUGGAUAGGUGAAUAUGUGCCUACCUUGUUCGUGCUUUUUGAGGGGUUUAUAUAAUGUUGAUGAGAAUGCCACUAUAGUGCUUACUAGACACUUUAACUUUCUUCUAUAAUGAUGAUUGUCUUGCAGGCGGUUGGGCAAUCAUCAAAAUUUUGGGUGGCUGAUAGGUGCCAUCAACUAACGUGCCAUGAUCUUAGACCAUGCAGUAACCUGUUCCCUCAGUCUGUUGAUGGCCUAAGGUUAUGUGCAACAAUUAAUUGACAUGGACUUGAGGGCUAGAAGAGGUCCCAUCGGCCGUUCACAUGUCAAGUGUGAAUGAUCACUCAUGCUAGUGGGUCUUGAAGAUUUGACUAGACAACCUUACCUAUUUGGGAGGUCCAACCUCCCAUUGCCGUUGUUUUGGCCUUAUAGGAGAAAAGGGCUUUCUCAUGUAUGGUGCUAGAGGGACUAGUCGUGAUCCAGAUGAGUUGCAUACCCAUGCUAGAUGGUCGAAGUGUCCGGGUUGGAAAUGGAGGGAAGCCUCCCACAAAUAUGAGGGAGCCUUAUGAAAACGGAUCCUUAGGGCUUAAGAAGGGGUUUUCAAUUUUAAGGUUUGCCUUUUCACCCAAGGAUGUGAAUGGGAAGAUGAGGCGAAGUUAAAAGAUUGGUGAAGCAAAGUGAGGGCAAGGUAGGGUUUGAAUAAAGGAAAGUAUACACUAUUAAUGAAGAUGAUAAUCUCUAGAAAGAAAAACUAAGGUAAACUAGGGCUUUAAUAAUAAUUUUCAAUCUACACUAGUGAAGAGGAUAUCUUCGAAAACCAAAGUUAGGGCUUCAAUAACGAAUUUCAAUCUACAAUGGUGAAGACAAUAAUCUUCGAAAACCAAAUCUAUAAUGAUGAAGAUGAUUGAAAACUAAAUCUAUACUAGUGAAGACGAUUGGAAAGCAAAUCUACACUGGUGAAGACAAUGAAACCAAAUGUAGGUCUUCUAAACUAAACGCUUUUAAGGAUUUUCCUUUUUUUUUUCCUUUGUUUUCAAGAAAGGCAAACUCUUUAGAAAACUAAAAAAACUAAUGCAUUCUUAGAUCCAGAUCACUAUUUCCAACAUGGUAUUUGGAUUGCCAGCUUGCAUUUUUUAUUUUUUUAUUUUUUUAAUAGUCAUUGGCAUUUUAGGGAUUAUUGAAGGAUAAUAUCAUUCAGCUCAAUUUCCCAAAUUAGUUAGGUCUUACACUCAAAUGUGAAACUUAUAUGGAUGUUAGGCCAAUUAUCAAACUCAUCUGCCCUAAAACAUAAUUUCCCUUUUUUAAAAUAGUUGUUAAACAUCUAUCCCAAACACGUUUAACCCUUUGAAUUGCUUGUAUGUUAACCUUGUUUCCUUUUCUUCAUGCAACAUGGCUUAUUGAUGGUUGCAUUGAAUCAUUAUCAUUCACCAAUUCCAUGCAACUAUGGACUACAUUUCAAAUCCCUCGAACAUAAAUGGUAAUUCCAAAACAACUCAAGUAUAAUCUUUUCAACCCUUUCAAAUGAUUUAAUUAAUUGAUUUUUGAAUAUAUUCAUAUAUUUUUUUGAGCAAUUUUUAGGCAUAUAACAUAAAUCUCUUUUUUAUAUAUAUAUAAAAGGUUUUAUAUUUUAUAUUACAAUUUCCUUUUGUUUUUUCAUCUAAAAAACAAAACAUAAAACCUUAAUAAACGAGUUUUGUCACAAUCCCUUAACAAGUAAUCUAUUUUUUAAAUUACUUUAACAUUUUUAGAUAUAUUGAUUCAAUCUAAUUUACUUUUAAUAUUUUUUAUAAAAUAUUUUUACUUUAUAUGACUAUAAAUUAAUUACUAUUGAUUGCAUAUUAUAGAAUAUAUAUUCUAAAAUAUAUCUUAUUGACAAUAUAAUCAUAAGAUGUUAUAUCCAUAUCCUAACAUAUUAUAUACUUUUAUUUUGUGCAAUUAGCAACAUGGUGGGAAGUGGCAAGCAGCUUAACGGAAAUGUCAUGUGCCAAUGUGCCAUGCGUGUCCCUUCCCUUAGUGAGUCUGAACUGCUCCAACAUUUCCGACAUGUUAUUUUUUACUUAGCUCUUAAGUAUUUUCGUCUCGUUUUCGUUAACCCCAUCACAUUUCGCCACAUGGAUCUAAGCCUCAUGGUCCUUUCGUUCGUACAAUGAAUGUUCCCCCAAUUCCUUAUCUACACUAAAACUCCAUACUCGCCAUCUACUCAACCACUUCUCUACUCUAGAGUUUGGGUCCUUUAUCUCUGCACGUGUCUAUGGCUUUUCACCCCAACAAGUAUGGCAUUACAAGGGCAAUAUCGUCAUUAAAGACCCAAAAGGGAAACCAAUGGCAUUAUCUUCCUUUUGGUCUAUUCUAUUUAUAUUGUAAGUUAUUCGUGAUGACUUCUCCCAUAAAAGCUAAAAACCACUCCAAUAGAGCACACUUCACUUCUUCAUUUUUUUUUUUCCAGAUAAGCUCAGAAAGCCCAGCUCAUCCCUCAACUCCCCGAUGGGUUUGAUGAAUGUUCUUAAAUUCUCAACUGCAUGCUUUGAUCUUCUUAUCUGGUAUAUUGUCCACGCAUUUUCUUGUCAUUGGAAAAUUUUGGAAAAUGAAAUGGAAUUCUAUGUUUGAUGACAAAACUGGGAUUUGCUUUGAUUUCUCCAUGUUGGUUUUAUCCCUUUUGUUUGAAUUGUCCACAUUCUUGUCAUUGGUUGUUAGUUAUUUGUUUGGAUUUCUACUUGUAGGCCUCUGUUUGCACUGGGUUAUCCUCUAUAAAUCUUGGUCUUACACACCAAGAUAUGAUGAUUCAUUUACUCUUUUCUUGUUCUAUGAAUUCUUAGUUCUGUUACAUUUAUUGGGUUGGAAAACUGAAAAAGGAAAGGAUUAUUCGUUAUUAUCAUAAUAAUCAUCAACGUCAUCUCAAUUAUUCACAGAUGUGCAUCAAUUCAGGUAAUUGAGACUAACUCGAUCUCAGACAUUCAGAAGUUGGUGGCAUAUUGGGUUCUAUUUUCCUUGAUUUCACUUUUUGAUCGUACUUUUUCCAAGCUCCUUGAAUGGUAAUUUUGUUCAACUUCAUUCCAUCAUAUGUGGCUCUAUUUGUUUCAUUUCUUUGCCCUUCAGGAAUUUGGAGUUGCCUUUUUUAGUUUUCUUCCCUGUGAAAAUAAUCGAGAUGUUUAAUGUUCCAAGCCUCCAUGUAUUUUAUUUUCCUUCAUUUCUCUGCUUUGAUAAAUCCCCAUGAUUUGAUCAGCAAAAAGGCUAUAACAUUUGACAAAGAAAUGCUUUAUUUUGGUUUUUUAAGUACAACAAUUUUCAUUUGGAGAAAUGGUCUAAAGGGUAUCGGUGUUUGGAUGAAUCAUGGAAUUUUCUCGCUAAUUUGGGAUUUAUUCUCAAUUUCAAUAUCAUUGUGGAUAUUUCAAAAAUUAAUGAAAUAUAUAUGAUGGAAUGUGAUUUUCUUGUUUAAGAAAAGUUUUUCUUUAAAAAUUUAGGUAACCCUGACCUACCUUAUUGUGCUACUCGAAACACAAAACAAAAGUACAAGUAAUUUAGUAACUAAAUUGCACACUUUUUGAUAGUUCAAGGAAGUGGUGUUAGCUUUGGAAAUAAGAUGGAUCUACUAGUUUUUAUUUCUCAUCUUUAUAGGGAACUUUCCAUAAUAUAGCUUAUAAAUACCAUAAUCACAGUGAUGAAUAAUUGUCUUGUUUGAAAGCAUGGUUGCACUUAUUUGCAUGGAAUUUGUCUGCGUUGAAAUUAAAUUAAGCUUUAUGCAUCAUUUGGAUGCUGAGAAACAAAUGAAAAUAGAAAAUUCAAAAUUUGACAAGUUUGUGUAGGGAAAUUGGAUCUAAUCUCUUAAUCGAAGCUUAAUUAGGGCAAAUGUUGAUCCUCUUUGGACCUAUUGAAAGCUCUAAUCUGUGCACAAUUCUAAUGUUUUUGUUUCCUUAAUUUCUUUUUCAACUUUUCAACAAAGCAUCAAUUUGCUAUAAUAAAUGAGAACCAACUUGACGAUGAGAAAAAUGACUGGUGAUGAUGUCAUAGAGAAUCGCAGAUGAGAACAACCAAAAAUACUAGGAUUGGUACCACUGAUGGUAAUGAAGAAAACACAAAAAUGGUGCAAAUGGUGAACAGGAAACUCAAAAUGGAAUGGGAAAAGAAACCUAAACAAUAGUCUCCUAUAUAAAGCACACAACAUGUACAUCGAGGCAUCUGAAAGGACACGCUGCCUGAGAAGUCACUCUAAUUGAUGUGACUCCUCAUGACGUGGGUGGUGGACAUAUGUCCCAUGGUGCCAAAAAUUUCAAACACUCAAGCAACCGAAUACUUUCACUUAGUCAUUUAAAGCCUAGCUAGACUCAAUUGCAAGAAUUAAGGGCAUUGUGGGAUGCUCACCACCGUCUAUCAUGGUCCUCAAACACUGUCUGGUGUGAGACAUAUUGGCACAAGAGCCAUGUAGCUUCUCUAUCCACCCCAAGAUACUCCUAGGGUAGCAAACGAACACAAUCCGACCAAACACUAUGCAUUCCUACCCUACAAGCAUUAAUUUCAAUGAGCAAUAAGUGUAUUAACACAUUAAUGAAUGCAACCGUUAUAACGCUAAAACGCCAUACUUUAAGGUUCAUCAAGACACAACAACCAUUAUGGGCCGACAAUUAUUGGCGUUAAAUAUGGUAAUGCGCAAUCAAAGGCUCAAUUAAGGCCCUUUAGAAGACGUUACUAUUGGGCAAAGAUAAAUAACCAUUUUUUACCACAAGAAAGUCUGAUGCCAUUUUUUUCACAAAAACUUUUGCUUAAGUCUUCCAUCUCUAACCUAAGCUUUGAAGGGGUGUACUUGGAAAACCUAUCCGAACAUUCCUUUAUGUAGGUGCAAUCAUCGUUUAUGUCACGCGAAGGCUAGUCAAAGACCUUUAUUGGUCGUGCACCAAUAAAUCUAUUUAGUAUAUCUCAUUUAUCCGUUCAAGUGAGAUGAAGGAGUGACCUAAAGAUAGAUUGGAAACAUCAUAGUUUCUUAUAUUGGUAAGGCAGCAACAACCUCGGCUAGUGCAUCAACCUGCUCGUUUUCCUCUAGGGGUACGCGUUUGAUAAACCAUUCAUUCAAUUUUUCUGUUCAAGUGUACCAAAGAGAGGUAAUGAGCCAUGCAUUCAUCUCAAGCUUCAUAUUUUAGUUAGAUUUGUUCACCCACUAGUUGUGAAUUGCUUUUGAUUUCUACUUUCAUGGUUGUGAGAGCUAAGGCUAGAUCGUCUCAUAAGAAUUGCUUCAUAUUUUGCCUCAAUAUUAGAUACUGGAAAGUUGAGACAGACGACUUGUUCAAUUUGCUCUCCUGUAAGGAAUUGUUGUGUUAGUCCUAUCCUAGCUUCUGAUGUUCUAGAGGCUUCGUCUACAUGGAGAACACGCCAUUGUUCUUCAUUGUUAGACCUUGUCCAUUUUUGGGGUGGUUCGACUAUGAAAUCAAUGAGAACUUGCUAUUUGAGAUACUAAUGAGGUUUGUACCGUAUGUAAUAUUCACUCAAUUUGAUUGCCCAAUUCACCAUUCGACUAGAUAGAUUUAGCUUGUGCAACGUGACCCACAACGGUUGAUUUGUCAAGACCGUUAUUUGGUGCGCCUGAAAAUAUGGACAAAGCUUCUUGGCAGCGAUCCGUAAGUUCAGAGCCAUUUGUUCCACUUAAGAAUAUCGUGUUUUUGUGUCAAUCAUAGCUUUUCUCACAUAGUAAAUAAGUCUUUGUUCAUUACUCUAAUUGUGUGGAAACAAUAUGACAUUGACAGCAAAGUUUGACACAACCAGGUACAUGUAUAACUCUUCUCUAGCUUCAAGACUACUUAAGAUUGGUGGCUUCGUAAGAUACUGUUUGAUGUCUUUAAAGGCAUGCUCACACUCAUCCAUCUAACUAGACAUCUUUGCUCCCUAGAGUUUGCUCAAGAAAGGUCUGAGCUUAUUUAUGAAGCGUGUUAUGAACCAACCUAAGGUGAUUAGACACCCAGUUAGACGUUGCACUUCCUUCUUGCUAGUAGGAGCAGGGAUUUCUAACACUACUUUCACUUGAGCCAGAUCGACUUCAAUACCCCCUUUGAGUCACCAUGAACACAAGAAACUUCCACUCACUUACUCUAAAUGCAUAUUUUAUUGGAUUAAGCUUCAUGUCAUACCUGCACAUUAAACUGAAUGCUUCUUCCAAAUGGAGGAGCUUCUUGGAACGAGUUAUUCUCUUAAUGACAAUGUCAUCGAUAUAGACUUCCAACGUUCGACCUAUCAAGGGCUUAAAAAUAUGGGUCAUCAACUGUUGGUACGUAGCUCCAAUGUUCAUUAACCCAAGCGACAUGAUCUUGUAAAAGUACAACUCCUUAUGUGUAAUAAAUGUCAUCUUCUCUUUGUCAUGUGGAAACAUUGGUAUCUGGUGGUAUCCAAAAGAAGCAUCAAGAAAAGACAACAUUCCAUGCCUGGUUGUGGCAUCGACUAUCUAAUCUAUCUAGAGCAAUGGGAAGCUAUCUUUCAAGCAGACUUCAUUCAUAUCCACGUAGUCUGCGCACACCUGCCAUUUUUCUCCUUUCUUGGUACCACUACCACAUUUGUUAACUAGUCCAAGUAGGUCACCUCCUUGAUAAAUCUUCCUUUUAAUAGCUUCUCAACUUCUAUCUAGAUAAUUUUUUGAUGAUCCAACUAGAAACGUCAGACUUUAUAUUGUAUGGGUCGUGCUGUAGGAAGAAGGUUCAACUUAUGAGAGCUCACCGCUAGGUCUAUUCCAAGCAUUUCCGAAUGAAUCCACACGAGGAUAUCCUUGUUUUUACAAAGCAUUUCACCAACAUUACCACAUUCAUCCCUAGUUAGCAAAAAAUUAGCGUAAGUCAUCUGCUUAUUAUUUUUCGACAAAGAUAGCUAUUGUAAUAGGCUGAUUGCCAAUGAGUCUCUAUCCUCUAGUUUUCCUUCGACCUAAUUCUAUAAUUGUUAUUAGCUCUCUCUUGAUGAUUUGAGUUCAUCUUUAGUUGGGCCUGAACUCCAUCGCCACUUAGUAACACUACUAGGUGGCUAAUUGGAUUCCAUGUGGAUCCACUUACCCAAAUUCUGUCAGGUAGCUCACCAUCUUAUGAUAGGUGGAUGGAAUAACUUUCAUCUUAUGUAGGUACGACAACCUUAUGAUGGUGUUGUACGACGGUAAAUCCUCUACUAUAGAAAAUCAUACGUUGAGAGUAGGCGGGUUGGCUUGGACAAGAAGUACCACGUCGCAUAGUGAUAUUGUGGCAACCCUAUUAAACCCAAACAAAAGUCGAACUAGAUUUUCUAAGGCAGAUGACGAACAUCCCAUUUUCCUGUAGGUUGACAUAUGCAAUAAAUUGGAAUGAUCAUUUUAGGAAGGAUCACUUGAUUAAUGUUAAUUGAAGGGAAAGUGAUUGGGUCAUUGACUGGUCGGGCACUUUCGACAGUAAAUGUGCACUGAACUGCACUUACUCUUUCCCUCCCUGUAGUCGCACAGAGCAUUCGUCUCCUUUGUUGUUUGGAGUGAUAUUUGUCAUCUACUAUUUCCCCAUGGAUAUAGUUAAUCACUACUCGAUGUGUUGUGGGAGAGUCAGGAACUCACUCUGACACUUCACGUGUCAUUUCUUUAUGUCCACCAGUUGCUCAGACAUACAACUUGAGAUGUCCGGUAAUGAUUAGUUUCUCCACCAAGUAGUGCAAAUUUUUGCACUCUUCUGUGGUGUGCCCAUGCUCCUUAUGAUAGAAUCAUCGCAAUCCUCGAUCAUGCUUGGACGAAUCAGUUUUGAUGGGCUCUAGCCACUUGAACUCGAGCAGCUCUCAAAUCAAGAGGAGAAUUCUAUCAUAAAAAAUGGUCAACGGGGUGAGCCUAGGCGAUUAUCAUUGUUGUUGUCUUUCUUGUCCUUGAUUAGUCUAUCUAGACUGGCUUGAGGGCUUUAAGCUCUUAGCCUUCUUUUUUAAUUGCUCGGUUUAUAACCAGGAUUUGUUGAGAGGUUACCUAAACAUCCUCCUCAAGCAUGACAUGUUUGCCCACUCGUCUAAAUAGGUCAUUCAUUGUAGUGGGCAACUUUUUGGCCAUGGACUUGAAGAAUUGAGUGCUUGGACUGAUGAUCCAUUUGAAGAUCUGCAGGAUAGCAUCCAUGUUGUAAGAUUCCAUCUAGAACACCGCUUGUCUGAAUCACUUCAUGAAGUCCCUUAGCGAUUCAUUCUCCUACAUCUGAAUGUUCUAUAAGGUGCUUAUAUUCUGCUUUUGGCGAGCAAAACAUAAAUAAUGGCCCACAAAGGCCUCUAAAACAUCUGUCAUCUGUUGUUGGAAGUGCAUCAGGUGAACAAAAGAGUCACCAUCCCAUAGUAAAUAGUAAAUUUGGGCACCGGAAACCCCUGGGCAGCUCAUAACUAAUGAUAUGUGGGUCAAACGACAUGAAGAGCAUGUCAUCCAAUCAUCUACUUAUGGAGUCAAGAGGGGCUUUUGUCAAUGGGUUAUUUGUCGAUUGUAGUUCUAGUAUUGAACAUUAAGGCAGACGGCUUGGUGAUGCCUCAUCGUUUGAUUGGCCUAAUUGUGCUUUCAAGGCCUCCAAUAUGCAUGGCGAUGCUAGUGUUCUUCUCUCCUGAUACCCAAGAUAGGCUUUCAGGGCAUCUGAGAGACGUAAGCCCCAUUCUUAACCCAUUUUCCAUUUUUCUCCAAUAGAGCUUGCAACCUCUUUCGCUUGAGUUCGAUCGACUACUGAAUGCACUAGUUCAAGUAAUGUUAGCGAACUGCUAGUAGACAAUCCCUCAUCCACUGUUUGUAGAGACGACUUAGUGUAUCAUUGAAGAACUUUCAUUGUUUGGCUUCAAACUACUCUUGAAGUCGUCUAUUGGUUGGAGGUACGAUGACUUUUUUAUCAGCACCCCAUAGCCACUUGUGCUCGUAGCUCUUGGUUCUCUUGCUGUAGUUGUUCUGCCUGUUGGACAGGGACUACAUAGGUUAUUCAUAUUCUUCUUGCUUUUUUUCUAUCUUUCCUUGCCAAGCUUGGAAUCGCUCGUCAACAUUUGCAGAAUGAGUUGCAGGAGGCGUGUUAACCAUCGUGUUUUUUAGGCAUUUGUGGUUGAUUCCCAUAGACAAUGCCAAUGUUGGUGCACGACCAGUAAAAAAAGGUGUUUGGCUAGUCUCCAUGUAACAUAGAUGACGAUUGCACCUGCACAAAGGAAUGUCUGAAUGGGUUUUUCAGGUACACCUUUCCAAAGCUUAGGUCAGAAAUGGAAGACUUAAGCAAGAGUUUUUGUGGAAAAAUUGGUAGCAUACUUUUCUUGUGGUUAAGAAUAACUAUUUAUCUUUGUCCAACUAUAAUAUCUUCUCAGAUGCCUUAAUUGAGCCUUUGAUUGUGCAUUAUCAUCUUUAAUGUCAAUGAUAGCCAACCCAUAAUGGUUGUUGUGUCUUGAUGAACCUUAAAGGUUGGCGUUUUAACCUCAUAAUGAUUGCAUCCAUCAAUGCGUUAAUGCACUAAUUGCCUAUUGCAAUUAAUGCUUGUUGGGCAAGAAUGCAUAGUGCCCGAUUAGAUUGUGUUUGUUUGGUACCCUAAGAGUACCCUGGGGUGGACAAAAAAGCCACAUGGCUCUUGUUCUAACAUGUCUCGACUAGACAGUGUUUGAGGAUCAUGUUAGAUGGUGAUGAGCAUCCCACAGUGAAGACGUAUGAUGAAAGCAAAGGUAGGGCUUCUAAACCAAACGCUUUUAGGGAUUUUUUUUUUUUUUUCAACAAAGUUGACCUCUUCAAGGAAAAAAAAAAAGGUUAAAAAAACUAUUGCUUUUUUGGAUCCAAAUCACCAUUUCCAAUGUGAUAUUUGGAUUUCCACCAUGUAUUUUUUUUUUUUUUAACAGUCAAGGACAUUUUAUGGAUUAUUGAAAGAUAAUAUCUUUCAACUUAAUUUCCUACAUUAAUUAAGUCUUAGGCUCAAAUGUGAAACUUAAGUGGUUGUUAGGCCAUCAAACCCAUCUGCCCUAAAGUAUAAUUUCCCAUUUUCAAAAUAUAUAGUUGUUAAACAUCUAUCCCAAACUAUUGUAACCCUUUGAAGUGCUUGGUAUGUUAACCUUGUUUCCUUUUCCUUAUGCAACAUGGCUAAUUGAUUGUUGCAUUGAAUCAUUAUCAUUCACCAAAUCCAUUCAACUAUGGACUUACCUUUCAAAUCCCUCUAACAAAAAUGGUAAUUCCAAAACAACUCAAGUCUAAUGUUCUCAACUCUUUCAAAUGAUUUAAUUAAUUGGUGUUUGAAUAUACCUCUUAUAUUUUUUUAGAGCAAUUUUUAGGCACAUAACAUAAAUUUCUAAUUUUUUUUUAGAAAAGGUUUUAUAUUUUAUAUUUUAUAUUACAACUUCCCCUUUUUUUUCCAUCUAAAAAACAAAACAUAAAACCUUAAUAACCGAGUUUUGUCACAAACCCUUAACAAAUAAUCUAUUUUCCAAAAAUUACUUUAACAUCUUUAAACAUAUUGAUUUAGUAUACUUUACUUUUAAUAUUUUUUGAAAAAUAUUUUUAUUUUAUAUGAUUAUUAAUUAAUUAAGAUUGAUUGGGUAUGGUAGAAUAUAUAUUCCAAAAUACAUCGUAUUGAGAACAAUAUCACAAGAUAUUAUAUCCAUAUCUUAACAUAUUAUAUACUUUUAUUUUGUGCAAUUAGCAAUUGGACGGAAGGUAGGGAGCCGGCUUAAUGGAAAUGUCGCAUCUCACGUGUGUCCCUUCCCUUACCAAGUCUCAACAAAGGAUGAAAAUAUCGGUAAUCACGGAUAUAUCGGUACUUCGAUUUUACGGAUAUAUUAGAUAUAUCAGAGAUAUAUUGACGGAUAUUUUGGAAAAAAAUAUCGAUAAGCCUAAAAUUGAUCAAAAUUUAUAAAAAUAUAAAAAAAACUUCAUAAAAAUGUAAUUAAAAGAAGGUCGUAUAAGUUACUCAUGUUGAUCAUGUGAUAUAUCACGAGAUAUAAUCGAUUUUUGGGAAUUUCUCACGAAAAUAUCGCGACAUUUCUUCCUUGUCUCGACUGCUCCAAGAUUUCCUAUACGCCCUUCUUCGCUUAGCUCUUAAGUCUUUUCUUCUCCUCUUCCUCAAACCCAUCACAUUUCGCCGCGUGGAGCUAAGUCUCAAGGUCCUUUUGUUCGUACGAUGUAUGUUCCCCCAAUUCCUCAUCUACCUUGAAACUCCAUACUCGCCAUCUACUCAACCACUUCUCUACUCUAGAGUCUGGAUGCUUUAUCUCCGCGAGUGUCGAUGGCUCUUCACCCCAGCGAGUAUGGAAUUACAAGGGCAAUAUCGUCAUUAAAGACACAACAGGCAAACCAAUGGCAUUGUCUUCCUUUUGGUCUAUUUUAUUUAUGCUGUAAGUAUUCGUGCUUGACUUCUCCCGCGUCUCUUAUAAAAACUAAAGAAAACCACUCCAACAGAGCACACUUCAAGAAUCUUCUUUUUUUUUUUCUUUCCUCUUUCUCUUUACAUAUAUACUGAGAAAGCCCAGCUCAUCCCUCAAUUCCCAGAUGGGUUUUAUGAAUGUUCUCAAGUUCUCAGCUGCAUGCUUUGAUAUUCUUGCCUGGUAUGUUGUCCACGCAUUUUCUCGCCAUUGGAAAUUUUUGGAAAAUGAAGUGGAAUUCUCUGUUUGAGGACAAACAUGGGAUUUUCUUUGAUUUCUCCCUGUUGGUUUUAUCUAUAUUCUUUGGAUUACCCACAUUCUUGUCAUUGAUUGUUAGUCAUUUGUUUGGAUUUCUACUUGCAGGCCUCUAUUUGCACUGGGUUAUCCUCUGUAAGUCUUGGUCUUACACCUCAAGAUAUGAUGAUUCAUUUACUCUUUUCUUGUUCUACGAAUAGUUCAGUUACAUUUAUUGUGUUGGGAAACUGAAAAGGGAAAGGAUUAUUCUUUAUUAUCGUAAUAAUCAUCAACAUCAUCUCGGUUCUUCACAGAUGUUCUUCAAUUCGGGCAAUUGAGACUAACUCAAUCUCAGACUUUCGGAAGUUGGUGGCGUAUUGGGUUCUAUUUUCCUUGAUUUCACUCUUUGAUCAUGCUUUUUCCAAGCUCCUUGAAUGGUAAUUUUGCUCAACUGCGUUCCACUAUAUGUGACUCUGUUUGUUUCAUUUCUUUGCCCUUAAGGAAUUUGGAGUUGCUUUUUUCAGUUUUCUUUCCUAUGAAAAUAAUCGAGAUGUUUAAUGUUCCAGGCCUCCAUGUAUUUUAUAUUCCUUCAUUUCUCUGCUUUGACAAAUGCUCACAAUCUGAUCAGCAGAAAGGUUAUAACAUUUGAAAAAGAAGUGGUUUAUUUUUGUUUUUUUUAAGUACAAUAAUUUUCGUUUGGAUAAAUGGUCUGAAGGGUGUUUGUGUUUGGCUGAGUUCAUGGAAUUUUCAAGCUAAUUUGGGAUUUAUUCUCAAUUUCAAGAUCAUUGUGGAUAUGUCAGAAAUUAAUGAAAUAUAAAUGGUGGAAUGUGAUUUUCUUGUUUAAGAAAAGUUUUUCUUUGAAAAUGCGGGUGCACCAGACCUACCUUAUUGNNNNNNNNNNNNNNNNNNNNNNNNNNNNNNNNNNNNNNNNNNNNNNNNNNNAUCAGAUUCAACUGUGAUAGCCCGGAAUUUAAUUCAGUAUUCGACUCUUCUGGGAACAUGUUGGUUAUGGUUUCUCUCUCACUGUCCUCUUCUUUACACAUGACUUUUCAGUUGAGGAGCACAAAGCCUAAUGUUGAAGUGAAAGAGAUCAAAGCACCUGCAGCACCGGAGAAAAAAGGGGAACAGGUAAGUACUCUAAUGUGGCUAUUUAAUUUCUAUGGAGGCAGAUCCCCAGAGAAAUGCUGUUCAUGUAAAUUACUGAUGCAUUUGAUUCAAUGGCCACGGUUUUAAAAGAAAAACCACUUUAUGUAUGUUUCUGUGAAUGAGAGAACAAGUUUAUGGAUUAAAUGAUAUUUUUUAUGGUGAAAUAAUCAAUAAUUUUCAAAAUAAUAAUACAUUCCUGCAUGUUUUUGCAAUUCAUGAAUUCCUUUUAUGAUUGAUUCUUCUCACCUUUUUUCUCACCUCAGUGGAAGUGUGAAGAGCCUAAUGUUGCUCAAAAAGAGAUCCAAGUAGUCAAAGUAACAGAGAUAAAAAAUGGGGGGGAUGGAGCAAAGAGGGUAAGUUUUGCUUUUUAUUUAUAAAGUAGGCUGUCUUCACACAAGGAUUAUUAUUAUUAUUAUUGUUAUUAUUUUAAGACAUGAAUGUUGAAUGAUUUUGGAAUUGUCCUUGAAUCAUGUGAAGUGUGAAUGGUCUAAUGCUGCUAAGGAGGAGGUCAAAGUGACAGAAGUAACACAGAGAACAUUUGGUGGUACAGCACAGUGGGUAAGGUUUCAUGUCAUAUUUAAAUGGCUCCUCAUAUUUCACUAGGAUUAAUUUUGCCCCUACAAACUAUUUGGCUACAAGUUAAGACAGAGUUCCAGAUGCUGAUAAAGCUGAGACAUAAGUAAUGAACGAAUUUAGACACAUGCACAACUCUUGUGUGAAACACAAUGAGAGUGGAAAAUAGCUAAGUUGAAAAAUGGCCAAAUACUAUUUUGUAGUUCCCCCUACCACUUAAGUAAUUUUUGUCAUCCUUUGUGAAUGGAAAAUGCAGUCCCUUCAGUAAUUCCAUUAUAUUCAUGACUUGGUGAAGCAUAUAACCAUUAGUGUCUUACCCUAAGUCGACCUUUAAUGAUGAUCCAUUGAGAUGGGUCUGACUUUUGUCAACCCUCUUAUUCCCUUGAUCAUAGAGGUGAAACUUAGGGGGCUUAACCCACUUUUCAAUCUUAUUGGAUAUAUGGCACGUGGUAUCCUCUUCAUCUUGAAAGAGUGAAGUGGUCAUACUCUUUCCUCUGAGUCCAUUGUGGCCAUGCACUUCAGGCUCAUUGGGCUGAGUGAAAGGAUUCCCUUCUGCUUCAAAUCAUAGAGAGAUAUGCCAUGGUCAGCCUCUUUAAUUCAAGGGAUUGAAGUACUCAAAUCCAUUUCUCUGUAUCCAUCUUAGUUCUGCAUUCAUGUCUCAUGGUUAACCAAGAAGAUCCAGCCUCCAUCCAUGAGAUCAGCAUCUGCAGGUUUAUGACACCACCCUUCCUUUGCAUAGGAAAGGGAUCAUUAAGCCAUGUGUCGGAUGACAGAAGUCAUCAUUCAGGUUAUCUUGAGAACUAAGGAAGUUGGAAUUCUAAUUAUUGCAUAUGGUUCUUGAUGUUUAGCCAAUAUACUAUAGGAUUUUAAGCAUCAUGCUCACGUGCAUUGUGGUUGCUUAUCAGCUAUAUGGUUUGCCAAAAUGAGGGACUGAUUAUGGUCAUAAGUACCUUUUUCCCAUUAAUUUCUUGCAUGUGCUCUGCUGAGAUUAUGUUUUUGACAGUCCAAAUCAGGGCAAACCAACAAACAGCUUUAUGUUAACUUUUACAAACUGCCAUAUUUUCAGGUUAAACAAACAGAGAUAAAUCUUGGUGAAACUAGAAGUAAUACAAC